UUCAAGAAGAUGCGUUUGACAGGCCAACCAUGUCGGCUGUCAAUGUGAUGCUCAAAAGGGAUGCUGUAAUUCUCCGUCAACCUUUCAAACCUGCCUUCUCGGUUGGCAGAUUCACUCAUCAUUCCAAUGGACGUGUUGAAGACGAUAAUUGUUCUGUUAAUAGCUUGACAGUUUCCGCUGUGGCACCUCGGUGAGAAAAGUCUACCCUAGGAGAUAAGCACGGUUCUUUGCCCAAGUAUACUGCUUGGACAUGGUAACGUCUACACUAGUUACUCAUUAAAGAACCGAUUCUUAACCAUAAGCUGUUUAAUCAUGUCAUGUUGUCUAUCUUGGCUUGGAAGACUUCACGUCGAGGACCUUAUCAUUCUCCAACCUUCCUCGUUCAUUUUCACGUCUCUUGAGCUGGAAAUUAAAGCUCCUUAUGUGAAUCCAUGUUCUCCUAGCAUAAGACGGAAAAAAAAGAAAAAAAAAAAAAAGAGUUAGUCUAUGCCCUAGAUACGGUUAUCUCAUUGUGCUCAUUGUGCUAUGAGUUCUCACUGAACUAUGUCCAAUCUUUGUGCGGUUUAAUCUAUCCUCUCUAUUUGUAGAGUCAAUAUCAUCAUUAGGAUUUUUAGUCAUUCUGUCUUUUGUCAUAUAUGCAAUCAACGCCAUCAUCGCAUCAUUUCUUGUCAUUCUUAUUGAAUUCGAAAGAAUAACUCACUCUCUUUCUCAACAAAAGAAAAUGGAACCAAAAAAAAUUAAAAAAAAAAAAAAAAAAAGACGUCGGUUGAGAUAGCAGUCUCUUGACAACUCACUCUCUGUGGUAAACCAUAAGUAAAGCUAAAGCUAAUCACACGCGGGAUAUUUGCUUGGAUAUGUUGGCAUUAAAGCUAGGUUCAAAAUCUUGUGCUUGCGUAUUUGCGAGAAGCUUGGAAUUUGGCUUUGCACUAGCAAAAUGUUCGUGAUACAAAUUCCAUUACAGGUAUGACAUUUGAGUUCUGAUAAAAGGGUAAAGAGGGAUACUUUUACUGAUUAAGAUUGAGAGGCUGUUUGGUUGUGAAUUACUCAGUAUGAUGCUACCUUGCUGUGAAUUCGCUCUCUCCAAGGCGCUCGAGCUCCAUUACUAACAUACUGAGGGCCAACCGGACUUAUGCAUCAAGUUUAAUAAUGCGACCUCUCAAAUCCACAUGAAGAGGGGGCCAUUAUUUACUAUAUAAGAAAUAAUAUAUAUAGCCAAACUUCGUAGAAGACAUCGUACAGAACAACGAUAAGUCAGGUGAACUCCAAGUAAUUAAACCAAAGUUGACAAAAGAGCCGCGCACAACGCUUCACUUCGCUGUGUUUUUACCACCCGACGCUUUUUCACUCUUGGCGCAAUCAGCAACUUGCAUCGAAGUUCGAGGGGCUCCCGUGCAGCCCAUCCCGGCUUGUGUCCUUUCCCAUGGUUGGCACACAUUUCCAAGUUGAGCAUUGAAGCACUUCCAUCUAUGUACUUGACCCGUCAUGCUCGAAUAAAAAUGGCAUUCGCGUGAUGUAUUUUAACAACCUUCUCAUGCCAAACAGACAAAUUCAAAUAGCAUGACCUCUCCAGUAGCAUCCGUUAGCAGAUCAGACAGGAGAAAAGACUACGGCCAAAAACAGGGGUCGAGGCACACGAAGUCUCGGGAUAUUUAAUGACUCUCCUUCGAGCGGAAACGAAGUCAAGCGAGUGUUAAAAAUCCUAGCCGUCACUUUUGAAAAGCAUGUCCACUAAAGACCAUGUUAAAGGACUAUUGCCUUCUUCUUGUCCAAAAGAAAAAAGAAAAAAAAGGACUAUUGCCUUUUCUCACUGGCUUUGCAAGUCGUCUACGCUAAACCCAGACGUGGGACUCACAUAAAGCCAAAAAAUAACGAAGGGUCUUUGGAUAAUCCUAAGUUUUUUUUUUUAAUUAAUUUAACUUGGACAUGUAUUAAGAUGAAUUUGGAUAAUGUUCUUUCACUUUAGAAGGAAAGCUAAAAUCCUGUUGGUCUAAUUCCAUUUCAGAAAAAUGAAAUAUUCUUGGUCUCCUAAGUCUUUCAUCUUAUGUCAUCUUCAAGAUGCAGCAGAGAAGCUUCUCUUUGCUUUCUUGCCAGGAAAAGUAAAACAAAGAACUCUCUUUCGCUGCAAUUUUAUGAUAAUUCCACUCUUGACCAGCUUGAAAAUUCUCUGCCCACUUUCACUAUUUUGAAUUUUCACCAUGCGAUGGACCUUUCUACUUCAGAGGAAAUUUCUUCCCUCGUUGUUUAUGGAAACAUUCCCAGUUAGUGCCUUCUCAUGGGUCUAGAAUUGCUGUUUCGACCCAAGAAGAUGGCACGAGAUUCGAAUCUUGUCACCUUUUUCCUGUUCGUAACAUCGAUUUUGUUUCUUGUCACACCCAUUAAUGGAAACAGUCCUCUGCACGUGCUUUGCGAACCUAAAAAUGGCAAUUACACUUUCGGCAGUCCAUUCAGGAAUAACCUCGAACAGCUUCUGGGCAAUUUGGCUUCCAACACCGCCAAGAAAGGCUUCCACAGCAGUUUUGCUGGGGAUGGCAGUGAUGAAGUAUUUGGUCAAGCACUUUGCAGGCGUGAUGUGAAUAGGAGUGCUUGUGGGGAUUGCGUCAGGAUUGCAAGCCAAGAGAUCAUGAAUAAGUGCAAUGAGAAAGAUGCUGAUAUUUGGUAUGAAUAUUGCCAGAUAUCUUAUUCUUAUAGUAAUUUCUUUUCUGCGAUGAAUUACCUGGGACAGUACCCAGAUAGUAAUAAUCAGAAGAAGAACGUAUCUGAUCCGGAAGAGCUGAGCAGUGCCCUGAUCAAGUUGAUGGAAGAUCUUAAAAGUAAGGCCCCAUGGGCUUCGUCCAUGUUUGCAGUGGGCAGUUCAAACUUUUCGAGCCAAGGACAUGUUUACGGCCUCGUGCAGUGUACAAGAGGAAUCUCUGGCAGUGAUUGUAAUAAAUGUUUGGUGUCAGCUUGGGGGGAUCUGAAAACAUGUUGCUCUCCUCAUCAAGGUGGAACCAUUGUCAGCAGAUAUUGCAACGUGAGGUUCGAGCUUUACCACUUCUAUAAUCAGUAUUCUGAAGGUAAUUAAUUCGGAUUCUUUUCUUAGACUGUGUUGUUGGUCGCGGAGUAUCGAUGCCUGUUGAAAUUAGAAAUUAGAUCUGGAAAACUACCAUUGAAGGUAUCUUUUGUAUGUUUCCCGGUUUGAGAGUUUUAUGGAAACAGCCAGAUGAAGAAUUGCACAUAUCAUAGUAACAAAAUCCAGUUAAAAGUUGUCAACUAACCAUGAGUUUACUAUUCGGGGAGAAACAGAGCUGUUCACGAGGAAUGAGCAUUACUGAAGCUCAGUCAUCUAAGUGAGGAUAGUAAAAUCAACUAUGCAUGAGGAAAUCCUUUGUUUCCAUGUGAUUCAUUCUAAAUAAAUAACUUUUCAGAUGAAAUUUCUCGUAUUGAGUUUUUAUUGAAUGUAAUGGAUCAGAAUUCACCUACUUAUAAUAGAUUAAGUACAAAAUACGCAAGAUAUAAAUUUUUUGGUGGAAAUUUUUUUUACAACAGAGUUUCUAUGACAACAAAAGGAUUGGAUUGGCCCAAUGAUCGACCAGCUGUCGUAAAGCAUUUUACUGACCUGAUUAGAUUCCAAAACAUUUGGUAAUCCUUUAUUAGUCGGCUUGAUGAAAAGUCCUGUUGGAAAUCUUGAUUCUUGAGCUGAUCCUAACUGUUUCUAUUAUUUUUGUAGUCAGUAAAAUUUCCUUGCUGACUGCUCGAGUACUGCUCGAGUUCUCUCUGUGGGAGUUGGAAAUUGGAUUUUUAACAUUUCUUAAUUAUUUGAUAAAGACAUUGUAGGCUUGGGGAAGGAAAAAAUAAUUUUGUUGGUCAUAUGUAUUCUGGCUGGGACAUUGCUAGCUUCCCUUGGGAUUUGUGUUGCCCGUCAAAGACGAAAAAGGAGAAUGACCAGAGGUAUGUCAAACAAGUUAGUUUCAGUUGCCAACUGAUAUCUUGGACAUUGUUGAUGACAAGAAUUCGGAUCUUCGUUUUCUUUUUUGGUUUCCCAGAUGAAGAGAGAGACGAAAAUGAAUUGCUCCAGGAAUUGCCGAAGCCCAAUGAACUAUCCAUUUCAAGAGGGGAUCUAGAAUAUUCUGAUGAUAUGUUUGUCAUGGAUUUGGUAACUCUGAGGGCUGCCACAGCUAACUUUAGCCUUACAAACAAGCUCGGACGAGGCGGGUUUGGCAUUGUUUACAAGGUUAAAUAUUCGAUGGGAUCAUAUUCAAUUUGGUUGGAAGAGGUUCCCACAAAAACAUAAACUGAUGACUAUUCUUUAAGUUGUUUCAGGGAAUUCUACCAGAUGGAAACGAAAUAGCAGUCAAGAGGCUGUCGAUGAAGUCAUGGCAGGGCGUAGAAGAGUUUAAAAACGAAAUCACGCUCAUUGCAAAACUCAAACACAAAAAUCUGGUGAGGCUUUUGGGUUGGGGCAUAGAUGGACAUGAGAAGCUACUCAUAUAUGAAUACAUGGCCAACAAAAGCCUCGACGUCUUCCUCUCUGGUUAGUCCCAGUAUAGUCUGUUUUCUCUCACAAGUAGACCACACUCCUAUUGUCUUUACACAUUCAAUGAAAAUUGUGUCAGCUACUGCUUUGCAGACCCAAUGAAGCGUUCGCAGCUCUAUUGGGGAGCACGCUACAGCAUAAUUAAUGGGAUUGCCAGAGGACUGCUUUAUCUUCAUGAGGAUUCUGUGCCGAAGAUCAUCCAUAGAGAUCUAAAGCCGAGCAACGUGUUGCUGGACAUCGACAUGGUUGCCAAGAUAUCGGAUUUUGGUAUGGCGAGGAUUUUCUCAGAGAAGCAGAAUGUAGCAAACACCAGAAGAGUUGUCGGGACUUUGUAAGUUAUGCCUCCCCUGCCUUGUACAAUUUCUAAUAUUUUUCCAUUCAGUUGUUGUCGUUUGCAUCUCUGUCGAGUUUUCUUUUUCCUUUCAGUUCUUAUCACUAAAAACAUUUUGAGAAUAGUUUUCGGAAUUCAAUUUUUCAAAAAGAGGUAUGUGAUAUCUUCAGUCUGCCUAACUGUGGUCUAUAUGUUUCAGUUUUCAUUUAGCUCGGAAUCAGUGCAGGACCAAAAACACUUCGUAAAAUAUUACUUGCCUUCCGAUUUAGAUUAAAAAGACACUAGAAAAGCACCUCUUGUUAAUUUUUUUAAUCCAUAGUGUGGUUUGUAUUCUUAAAAAAAAAAAAUCAAAAUGGAAAAUGAAUCUCUGUGAAUGUAUGAAAGAAAAUCACUUAUUUGAAGUUCCAUUGGACUUGUUUUUGCCCAUGCACAAAGCAGCGGUUACAUGGCCCCAGAGUAUGCGAUGGAGGGACAAUUCUCUGCGAAGUCUGAUGUGUUCAGCUUUGGAGUCAUCCUGCUCGAAAUCAUCAGUGGGAAGAAAAAUAGUGGUUUUCACCUCACCAAGCGCGCAUCAUCGCUGCUGAAAUAUGUAAAGUUCUUUCUUCUGGCAUACUUGCAUCACGAUUUUAACUGAAUUGAACAAGAAUUUGAAAUCACUUAGACGACAUAUCACAGUAACAAACAUAAACUAUGUGCAGGCAUGGAUUUUGUGGAACGAAGGGAGAGAGCUUGAAUUCGUGGACCCUUUCCUACUGAAAUCGUUUCCACCGGCUGAUGUGCGUAGAACCAUUCAAAUGGGGCUUUUAUGUGUGCAAGAAGAUCCAGCAGACCGGCCUCUCAUGACGGAUGUGGUGGUUCUUCUCGAAAGUGGACCUGCCAUCCUCUUGCAGCCGAAACAACCUGCAUUUUCAGUCGGGCGAGACAUCCCCUUGGAUAGCCUUUCGAUGCCAGAAAGUUCUUGUACCAACGAUAUUACUGCUUCUACAAUGUCGCCAAGGUGAACGGUGGCUAUCCACACCCAAACAUUUGACAUUACCAUGACUCUCAGGUACAAUGGGAACUAGGUAUAACAAGUACUGCUAAUUCAUGCAGAAAUUUAAAUUCAUGAUCUGUCUUAGCUGUCUGAUAAUAGGUAAAACUAAGUAGAGCAUGCAUAGGUUUUUAUGGCAACCAUGUAAAUGACAACUCCAGUCUUUGUGAAUUUUCUGUACAUCGACAUUAACAUCUUGUUUGUUAAAUUGAUUGGGUCUCAGAAAGAAUGAUGAUGGUCGUAACUAGAUGGGCAGCCGCCUUCAUGUGUAUAGGCAUGGUCGUAAGAUGAACACCUUACAAUAAGAUGGCACAUGCAUAAUCUUUCAAAUUUUUCGAAGAAAGUUUUUUGUUUUUUGAAGUCGAGACAAAUGGGCUCUGAACACUACAGGAUUAAUUUUUGCUCAACAAAAUCUCUUGGUCAAACAAGUCACGAGCAACCCAAAUGGCUUGUAUAAUCAAAGUCCUGCAAAGUCUCACCAUAUCUUGUUAUACCAUUUGAUUUUAUCCGGUUAUAAUUUCCCCCUUCCUCCAAAAAUAACUGCAUCAUGGAUAUCUAGUUGAUUUGCAUGUAGACUCGUGUUCCAUAUAUAGCCAAACUUUAAUCUGAUACUACCCUAUAUAAACAUCUUCUGAAUGUAUCUUCUUAGCCAUCCAAUCAUCAAAACAUGAAUUCUUGCUUCACCAUCUGCCUCUCUCUCAUGCUCGUCUUCUUCCAAAUUUCUCAGCAUUUACACUCCCACUGCUGAAGCUGCACCAACUUAUUUAUGGCACUAGUGCACAAAAACCACCCUCUUCACUCCACCACCUACGAAACAAAUCUCAACACCCUCCUUUCUUCCCUCUUCUCUGCCGCUGCCGCCGAUGCCCAUGGCUUUGCCAAUGCCACCGCUAGCAAAAACCCACUUGAUCUCAUCUACAGGCUAUUCCUCUGCCGGUUGCGUGGCAUUUGUGAGCAAGGAAAUACUCGUGCAUGCCCUGAUGAGAAAGACUCAAAUCACUUGGGACAAGAAGCGCAUGUUGCGAUACUCGAACCAAUCAAUUUUCUGCGUUGAGCAAGGGAAACCCCGUCUUCGUGUUCAUAAACGUGGUCAACAUCCCAAAAUUGAGUAGCUUCACCCAGUUGUUGAAGGACAACUGAGGAAUUGGCCGAGACGGUGGCGAGGGACGGUCUGGCAAGAGGAGAUCGCAAUAAGGCAGGAGGGAGAGUCUUGGCCCCGAAUUGCAAUUUUAGCUUGGUGUUUUACAAGUUCUAUAAUGGACUGCCUUCUACAAAGCACUGGCACCAGCGCGAAGACUGACGCUGGAACUUGGAGCUACUAGAAGCUAUCAGAUAUCAAAUCAAAUACUAAAAGGGGGUUACACUUAGAGAUGCAUGUUCCAGCAAACUCUCUAUUAAUAACUUUAUUAUCAAUUUUGAAGUGAAAUCUAGUUGCAUGCAGCCUGUUUGAAGUUGGCUUUGUCAGAAAAGGUGAGGCUCCACUGAAAUUAGAAAUUCUCUCUAGCAAAGUGCUAGAAAACAAAACACACCGAAUUCAAUAUGAAAGCUCUACAGUAUAAAAGCCAGCAAUAGAGCAAUCAUUUUGUACCACAAUCAUUGCAAGAGAAUGGACGAACCCAUGCACUUUAAUUAUUAAUAUUGAUUUGGACUCUCAACCUCCUGGACCAAAGUUCUCUUACACAACUCUUUGACAUACUCAACAUCAUCCUCCAAUGCUUGCUUUUCUCUUGUUGAACUAAUGAGUUCCAAAGCCAUCCAUAACCUAGCUAUAUUAGAGCCAGCGAUUACAUAUCCUUUGGGAAAAAGUGAAUGUCCUUGUCAUGAGCUGAUAGAUCCCUAGCAGCAGAAUAACCCAUUACUUAGCCCCAACGAUCACUUCCCACCCUUAUAGGGACUGCGUAGACCACAAGCUUUCCCCAAAUCAUCACCUACUAAAGAAAUCAGCUCUCAUACUUUUUGUUGGGAGCACAUAGUAAAAGUCCAAUACCUUUAUAUGAGAAAAUUGCCAAGAGGAACCCCAAGUCUGAACUUGUUAACACAUCUAGUUUGAACCCGCAUUCAUUUAAUAGCUUAAGUUAAGGAAUUCUAGUCUAGUUAUGACACAUUAAUUGUUUCACAUCAGUCAAAUUUUCUAUAUCCUAAUAAUCCUUUCAUUAGGAGAUGAGCUCCUUCAAUUUUUUUUUGGCAAUGUCAUCUCCAAUCUAAAGGAGAUCAAGACGUGGUUGCUUUUCCUUUUCAUCAAAUGCCCAAUUUUUAAACAAGGCCAUAGAGUCUUCAUGACAAGGACUUUUUAGAUUAUGGGCUGAAUGAAAACUCAUUAUAAAAGUGGUUUCCAGACCAUGCUUAAAUUUGGAACUAACUUAUAAGAGGUGCCUCUUGAUAUAAUAAUACAGUUUAGUGUCGGGAAUCUAAUGUUAAACAUGUCUAGUUGGGAAACCAAUCAAGGUGGGUAGCCUUCUAGAAACAAAAUUGUGGAGUCGGUAUAUGAGGGAUUAAAGUGUGAAUGCCUCGAGCGAAUUAGGUCAAAGAGUCACACGACGACCUAGAAAAAAAGUCAAUUUCAUUUUCUUUCCCAAAGAAAAAAGAGUAGGUUGAACGAAACGUUUUUAGAGGAGGCCAUGUUGCAUCGAACUGUAUGAAUCAAAUUUAAUCUAUCAAAGUAGUCUGUUGCCGUAAUGGAAAAUUCAAAGCUAUAAGCGUCACCAAAGUCACUUUCAUCCCCAUCUCCUUCCGUAAUGGAAAAUUCAAAGCUAUAAGCGUCCCCAAAAUCACUUUCAUCCCCAUCUCAUCUCUCUCUCUCUCUCUCUCUCUCUCUCUCUCUCUCUCUACAACGACAUCACUGGCAUACAUAUCUCGACUUUUCUUGUUCUAGCCACCACAUAGAAACCAAAGAAGAAAGCAACUCAUGUCCACCCCUGAAUAUGUUGGAGGUUAUAGGUUUGAGAGAGAAGAAGCGGUUGCUUGAAGUAUUAUAUCAAGAGACGUCAAGUUUGGAACGCUCAAUAGUUACCUCCAGCAUAGGGAAACCCUAAAGUUUUUAUAUGGAUGUUAUUGGGCUUUGGCCCAUAUGGACCUAAAUAACCCUGCUUUCACUUAUUGGGCUUGUAUGUGAACAUAUUAUUUUGGACUAUAUUAAUAAUAUAUCAAACAAUCUCCUCCUAUGUUCACCAUAUAGCACAAUCUAAUAAGUUGGUCAGUGUAAUGUUCAUACAAACAUGAAUCAUCCACAUUCAGUCCAAGUCAAUCAACUCGGAUCGGUCAAAGAGUAUUUCAAUAGUAAAGUAUUAAACUAAAUCAUCAUUUACUUAUCAUUCUUAUCAUAAAUUUGUUUUGAGAUUAACAAAAUCCAAAUUCCAAAAUAAAUCUCAAACUUAGUUCACAACCAAUAUAUGCAUAAUAGUCAAGUAUAAGUAGGCCAGUCAAAAUAGUCCAUGACCUUACAGAUAUAAGAAACAAGCAUAAUAAUGUUCACAAAAUAGAAAUGGCAAAAUGCAAGUCUCAAAUAAAAAGACUUCAUCAAAAUAAGCAAUAAUAGGUAAAUUGUCAAGUCUCUAUAUGCUUUAAAUGAUAUAUAUUAAUUUAUCAAAUAGGUCAUCCUUGUCAGAAUCCCGCUUAUUAAGCUCUCCUCCAUCUCUGUCAUCCUCUGUAGAAUGUCAAAUAUGAAUUUCAUACUAUCAUAAAUUCAAUCAUUUGAAUAAAAACAUAGCAACAUUCCAUUAGGCAGAGAAGAACAUUUAUUGAUGUCAUAAAGCAUCAUAAUAUCAUGUUCAUAAGCAUCAAUCAAGUUUCAUAUAUUAUGAACAAGACCUAAACAAUGUGAUUUACAAAAAGCCAUCAACUUAAGUUUAUUUGUAAGAGAAUAACUAUUGUCUAGUUUCAAAGAACAUGACCAAUAGUCAAUUCACCUACAAUAACCUAGCCAUGUAAUAUCACGUUUCAAUUAAGAACAAGACCAUCAGGCUUCUUAUGUAAACAAUUAUUUCUAUGUUUCAAUUUAGAAUGUCACAGUUACUAAUUCCUUAAAGUCAAAUAAUCUAGCAUCAAGUUUGGAAUGAGAUCAUUUAACCAAAAAUGAUAUUCCAACCUAAUUGAAUUGUAUCAUCGAGUUUGGAAUGACACAAUUUUCCCCGAUAGAACAUUUGAAUUAGGUUAAAGUCAUCUUCAUCAAGUUUGGAAUGAGAUAACUCACCCUUUUCAAAUUAGUCAGCAACUGUGAACAUCGAUGAAACAUAUAAACCGUGCUUAUCAUUAUAGCUAAUAAAGAAAGAUUCGAUAAUUCAAAACACACAAUUAGAAGGUAAGUAAAUGGUAGUUAAGACUUGCCUAUAUAGUCUUUAACUCCAAUUCCCCCACUUUUUUGCAUAAUCAAUCUUUAGGCAUACAUUUGGUGAGAAUAUCGGCUAUAUUAUCUUUCGAUCUCACAUCGAUCAAGGUGAUAACCCCUUGUUCUCUUAGAUAAUUCAACAACGCAUGUCUCAGUCUCACAGGUUUUAUCUUUGAAUUAAAGAGAGCAUUCUUGACGACUUGGACAGCUGCUCGAUUAUCACAGAAUAUGCUUAAAGAAUUAAUCUUUAGCUAAGUCAAAGGAAUAUCCAUAAUUAGAUUCUUUAUCCACUCUACCUCUUCACCGGCUGAGGCUAAAGCAAAAAGUUCCGAUUCCAUAGAUGACAAUACAAUACAAGUCUGUUAUUUGGAUUUCCAAGUAAUAGCAGCUCCACCCAAAGUGAAUACAUAUCCACUAGUGGACUUACUAUUUCCAAUAUCUGAGCACCAUGAGGUAUCAGAAUAUCCAUCAACAAUUGGAGGAUAACCAGAAUAAUAGAAAGCAUAAUAUUUAGUACCUUUAAGGUAUCUCAUUAGCCUAUCGAGAGCAUCCCAAUGCUCUUUACUAGGAUUACUAGUAAAACAACUCAGCAUGCCAACUGUAAAGGCUAUGUCAGGUCUAGUGCAACUCAUAGCAUACAUGAGACUACCAAGUAGUUUCGAGUACUUUAACUGAUCCACGUUGGUCCCUUCAUUAGGAUUCAAUAUGUUAUUAUAAUCACAUUAUGUCUCACUCGGUUUACACUUAUCGUAUCCCCAAGUAGAAAGUAGUUGUUCAAUAUAAUGAGUCUGGCUAAGGGAGAUGACUUGCCGUUUAAAGCUUACUUUCAUACCAAGAAAGAUAUUAGCAAUACCAAGAUCUUUCAUGUCAAAUUCUUUAGCUAAAGUAGCUUUCACGUUACUCAAUACAGAAUUAUCGGAACCAAGAAUUAAUAUGUCAUCAACAUACAAGCAAAUGAUGACUAUCCUAUUUGACAUAGAACGAUGAUAAGGGCAUUUAUCUAAAUAACUAGACUUAAAAGCAUAACUCUUUACCACUUUAUCAAAUUUAAGAUGCCACAUCUUAGGUGCUUGUUUAAGACCAUACAAAAGUUUAUUCAAUUUACAAAUUUUGUCCUCAAGACCUUUCAUAACAUAUCAUUCUGGUUGUUCCAUGUAAAUGUCCUCAUUUAAAUCCCUAUUUAAGAAAGCUGUUUUUUUACAUCCAUUUGAUGCACUACAAAGUGUUCAAUAGAUGCCAAAGCAAGAAGAAUUCUUAUAGUUGAUAGAUGACACAUAAGUGAAUAUACGUCAAAAUAGUCUAUUCCACUUUGUUGUUUAUAGCAUUUAGCUACUAAACGUGCUUUGUAUCUGGCUGUUGAUCCAUCACUAUUCAGUUUCUUCUUCAACACCCAUUUACAGCUUAUAACUUUAGCCCAUUUUGGCAAAUUUAUUAGCUGCCAAGUGUGAUUCUACAGCAGGAAGCUCAUUUCAUCAUCUAUGGCUUCUACACACAGUAGAGAUUCCCUAGAUCUCAUUACUUCCUGUUAAGAGAAUGGAUCAUCCUCAAGAUGGUAAGCAACAAAGUCCUCACCAAAACUUUUGGGAAUUCUCUCUCUUGUAGAUACUCUAACUGGAAUCGGUUCAAUAGCCAAUUGUGUGGAAUUAGUGUCAGAAGGGCCUGCUUUAGAUUCUACAGGAGAUUUUGAAAUUAUAUUUGUAGAUCCAGAAACAAUCAAGCCUUGAUCUUUGAGAAACUUGUUUUCGAAGAACACUGCAUCUCUAUAUUCUAUCACUGUGUUAGAAGAACACUACAUCUCUAUAUUCUAUCACUGUGUUAGUAGAUAGAUCUAAAAUCCUAUUCGCAGUGCUAUCUUCUGGGUUUUUUAGGAUCUGAUAUACUUACAUAAGCAAUAUAGCCCCAAGUCUUAAGAGUAUCAUAUCUACAAGGGUGCUUCAUCCCCAAGUCUUAAGAGUAUCAUAUCUACUUAGAGUGCAGCAACAUGUUCAAGAUGUGAUUAACAGUUAGAACUGCUUCUCUCUAGUAGGAGGAAGGCAUACCAGCUGUAAGUAACAUAGAGUUUAACAUUUCAGUUAACGUUCUAUUCUUAUGCUCUGCAACACCAUUUGAUUAGGGUAAAUAAGGAGCAGUGAUUUCAAAUAUUAUACCUUCUGAAACACAAAAUUCUUGGAACUUGACAUAGUAUAUUCUCCUCCUUUAUCACUCCUAAACCUCUUAAUUUUCAAGUUAAGUUGAUUUUCUACUAUAGACUUGAAAAUCUUAAACUUUUCAAAAGCCUCAUCUUUCGAUUUUAACAAAUAGACAUGACAAUAUCUAGAAAAAUCAUCUAUGAAUGUUAUUAGAUACUUCUGACCACCUUUAGUAAUGUAAUUUCUAAAGUCACAAAUAUCAUAAUGUAUUAACUCAAGAAGUUGUGUGCUUUUAGAAACCAACUUAAAGGGUUUUCUAGUGAUUUUAGCCUGUGCACACACUUCACACUUAUCAAAUCGAAUAGAAGUAUUUAAUGGAAUGUUGUGAGUUUUAGCUAAAUGUUGCAUUUUCCUGUAAUUCACAUGUCUAAGUCUAUUGUGUAGCAACUUUGGAUCAAUUAAAGUAGAAUUCACAUGGUUUAUGCUAUCGGCAUUUAAACUCAACCUAUACAUACCAUUAACCAUGAAUGCAUAACCAAAAUAAUAUGAGUUAACAUAUAAAGUUACUCUACCAUUCAUAGUUGAAAAAGAUAUACCGGCUUUAUCAAGUAAACUCAUAGAUAUCAAAUUCUUCUUAAGUAAAUGUACUACUCUAACAUGCUUCAGAGUUAGUAAUUUAUCUGAAGAAAGCACCAAAUUUACAAUUCCAGUAUGAGUCACAUUUGCCUCACCACUGCAAUUUUCCACAGCAUCAGUGAGUAAGUUUUUGUCAUUUGUAGCAUGACAAAUAGUGCCACUGUCCAACCACCACUUAGAAGAAACGCUGGCCUUUCCAUUCUUCAUCAUUCCAAUGAAGGCUCGAGGCUUAGAUCGUCUAAUUAGCAUAUUGGCCUCAUUAUGUGGUGUGUCAUUAUUUGGCUUCCUCGGCAACUUACACUCUGCUACCCAGCGACCCCACUUUCCACAGUUAUGGCAUUUGGCAUUCUUCUUCUUUUUGAAGAUAGUUUUUUGGCCUCUAACUAUAAAGGGGAUUCACCUUUUGGUGACUUGGACUUUUUCUGAGGUUUAUUGGAGUGUGAAACUAAGUUGACAACUGACUUUUGUUGUCCCAUUUAUCCCAAACUCUUCCUAGUAAUAUUUUGAUCCUCAAUGUGAAUAUACAUCUUUAAUUCAUCCAGUCCCAUCUGUACCUUCAGUUUGUGCAUUUCAGUAUUAAAAGAACUCUAUUCAGUUGGUAGUUUGCUCAACACAAGACCGACAAAGAGAUUAUCGGACAUAUAAGAAUUAUCAUCUUUCAGCUUGUUCCUCAUGUUCUCAAAUUCAACUAACUGAGAGGUGAUGCUUGAAUUCGUAGUGAAUUUAAAGUCAAAAAAUUUCUCCGCUAGGAGAGUUUUAGAGAGCCCCUCUUGUUUUUGGAAUUGAGCAUUCAAGUGAUCCCAUAUAUCUUUCGCCGUCUUAUACUCACUAUAAGUCAUAGUCAGAUUAGGAUUUAGAGAGUUCAACAAGUAAUCUCUACAAAAAAUUCUCAUCUUUGUUCCAUUGAUAUUCAUCAACAUCUUUAGUAGUAGAUGCAAAAUCACUUAAUACGGUAUAGAAUAUGUCACGUUCUUUCAUGCCAAAUUGAACAUGUAAUUUCCAGCCAUGAAAUUCAGUAACAUCAAAUGAUUGUAGCUUUAUAAUAUCAUAGGAACUACGCUUUGCCAUUUUAUCAGAGCAAAGUGUUAGAAAGAGUGCACCUUGGAGUCCUCGGAGCCACAACCUUGAUCAAAUUGCUCUGUAGUGAUGGAAUUUGCCAAAACAAACCCCAAAAAUGGAUCUGGAGCGCCCAAAAACCUUGAGAUGGACUGCCUUGUCACUGAAACUUGCUGAAAAUUUCUGUCCCCGAAAUUCGCUAGAAAUUUCGUCCUUGAAAUUCGCUAGAAAUUCAUAUGGAAACUUUUGGGUGCCGUAACUUCUCCAUUCGACCUUUGAUUGACGCGAGGGACCACUCAAAACGUUCGUAUCAAUGAGUAGAUCAAAGCCCAAGUGGUUUCACCCUCUAAAAUUGGCUAUAAUUUUUGGGUUUUUGAAUCAAAGAUUUCGAUCACCUGAAUCUUUAAACUCAGAUCUCGGCCAAUACCACCGUCGAAAUCGAAAGUAAAUUACAGCCGCGAGUUCGUCUUGACGAAAUCUUCAAGAAGACUUUUUACUCGCUCAAAUCUAACACACGAACAUAAUACUUCAAGAUUGUUGGAAAUUAUAGGUUUGAGAGAGAAGAAGCGGUUGCUUGAAGUAUUACACCAAGAGACGUCAAGUUUGGAACACUCAACAGUGUUACCUCUAGCGUAGGGAAACCCUAGAGUUUUUAUAUACAUGUUAUUGGGCUCCGGCCCAUAUGGACCCAAAUAACCAUGCUUUCACCUAUUGGGCUUGUAUAUGAACAUAUUAUUUUGGACCGUAUUAAUAAUAUAUCCAACAAAAUAUUGGUGGCCUAACUAUAACCCCAACUCUUGUCGCUUUAAUAUUUUGGAAAGGACUUCAAUGUUUUCUACUUUAGGGAUGAUCUCAGACCGGUUUGUCUUGACUUGUAAUAAUCUGUUCUAACCUCCCCCGAGGAAAAAAAGAAGAAGAUCUAAACUAUCGAAUUUCAUAUGUUGUAUAACUUUUUUUUUUUUUUGGUAAGGCAAUUUUUUUUUUUUUGGUAAGGUAAGUUUUAUAACUUUAAUAUAUGUCAAAUUUAAAAUUAUAGAUGCUCACGUUAGAGGCCCCGUUUGGUUCAGCUUUGAAGAAAUGACUUUGAGGAAAUGUUGAUGCAUUUGGGCUAAAGGGAUUUUUCCAAAAUACAAAUAGUAUUUGGUAAAUUGUAUUCUGAAAACAAAUUAGGAAGCAACUUUGACCCAAAUGCCGCAUGAUAAAAACUACACUUUGUAAAAUAUACAACUAUUUGCUUAUGGAAUUCAGCUGCUGCCGGCCAGCCUCUAGUGAUCACUCACAUGUAGUUAAGGCCUUCCCUGACAAAUCAAGGUUUUUGAUGACAAAUUUGGAAUUAUGAAAUUGAGCGAUGGAAAAGUUGAAAGGAAAAGUCUCUUCGGAGACAUCCGAUAAAAUUGGAACGAUAUAGAGAAGAUUAGCAUGGCUCCUGCGCAAGAAUGACACCCACAAAUCGAGAAAUGGUCCAAAUUUUUUACUUACCAAAAAAAAAAGUUGAAAGGAAAAAAAAGAGUCCGUUUGCAUUUGUAAAAUGCUUAUUUUCAAAGUACCUUCGGACUUGCCUUGGGCUAAAAGCCUUUGGAGGCAUUUGGAAAUGUAAUUGCGUUUCCUCAAGUUGAGAAAAAAGAUUAACUAAACAUCAUUUGCAUCUGCCCAAUGGACUUUAGAGUCUCAAAACCCAUUUGAAAUGUUGAACUAAAUGGGGCCAAAGAAAAUCCAUGUCAAGUAAGUUUCCUAAUUUUAGUAGGUUUUCUAAAUUAAGUAUAUUUUCUUAAGGAGUUUUCUAUGUUGAAUUAAAAAAAUCAUUGCAUAUAGGAGAUAGAAUUCUACUUAAUGCACACAAACUAGAGCAAACAAGAAGAAUGUUAGAAUUUUAUGUUUGUGAGUUUUCUAUGUGAGUUACUUGUGAGAAAUUGUGAGAUAACACAUUUGGUCCUUUUUUUUUUUUUUUUUUGUAAUUAGGGGCUAGGAACAAAUAAAUGAUGGAGCAAUUGUAAACUAUGUACUCUACGGAGUUAUAGUGGAUUUCUUGAUAGCAAGCUCUGACCAUGAGGUAAGUACCCAAAGUCAAACCCAAUUACAUAAUUUUCUAAUGUCCUUGUCAUUUCUUAUUGAUUUCUCUACUUAUAAUUUACUUGGUCGAAUGCAUAGCUUAGCUUUCUAAAAACACCCAAUGAGUAGCUAGUUGAGUGGGUAGGUCACAUAGUCAUCAAGUAAUAGAGCCUUACCCAAUGCACAUACCUAAAUGGCGGGGAUUUAUCCAGCAUCAAUAAAAUUAGCUCAAUCAAAAGGUUUGAAUGCACCAUUAUGUAAAAGAAGGCAUUGUUAAUUGCUUAAAUCAUUUCUUAUGGAGCAGUACAUAUAAGUGGACAUAAUAGAGUAUUUAUUAGGAAUUUUUCCAGUGAUGGUUUAAUGUCAAUGUGUGCGCUACUAAAUCAAUAUAAGUGAUCCAGUAAGGGCAUAUCACUAGUUUCUUAAAAGAAAGCUAGAGCCAGGUUUUGAAUAGAGCAUGUGAAAUUUUUAUCUUCCUGCGAAUGUUUUUCAAAGUUGGCUUAAUUGUCUUCGCAUGUCUUUAGAGAAUUUUAAGGUUUAUUUAUUUUUUACGUAAUUACAUUGUGAUAGUAUUUUUAUCUUGCAUUUAUCUUUUAUAUAUAGUUAAAAUUGGAACUAAUAGAGUCUUCAUUCAUAUGCUCAUCCCAUGGCACUUCACUUUGUUUUAGUGAUUGCCACAUGGCAUGACACAUAAAAUAGUUGUCACAUGACCCACAUCUAUACUAUACAUGUGGUACUUCAACAUACUUCUAUAAUUGUCGCAUGGGCACAUAGCAUAGUUUUGUCAUGUGGGCCACAUUCACAUGUUCGCCACGUGACACUUUACUUUGAUUUUUGAUUGCUAUAUGCAUGACACACGGCAUAAUUUUAUUCCAAACUAAUUUUUGUCUACUAAUCGAGAAUAGAUUUGGAUCAGGAGUACCGGUUUCAGAUUUCUUGAUAGAAGAAAAUUAUUUUAGAGUUACCAUGUCAUAGUGGUCCAAUUUAGGAUUUUUCUGAAAAAAAAAACGAAAUUAAGUUGGACUAAAUCUGCAAGCUGAUUCGGGAUUUUCAAUGAUAUUAAUUCUAAUUCUAUUAAUAAUUCCCUAACACAAUUUUAAUUGUGAAAUUUAUAUAUCAUUUACAUAUUCAAUUCUUUCAAAUAAUAUCUAAAAUGUAAAAUGAUAAGGAUUUGCUAAAGCGACAAUGAAAACUAAAUUGCUGGGUAAAGCUUGGUCAUGCAUGUGCCACGUGAUACCACUUCAUGCAAGCUUUUCCGCGAGAGAGAGAGAGAGACAGAGAGACAGAGAAAGAUUUGUAAUUAAAGCUAAAGUUUGAGUCAUUUCUCAAUGCAACAUAAAAUUUACAAUAUGAAAAGUCAACUAAUAGGUGAAGAAAUUUACUCAGAAGCCUGACUAGUAGGUUCCGAGAUGCCUGAUCUAUGGAAGCUCCUCGCCUCCAUCCCCAUGAAGAGUGUUGUGGCCUGAGCAUAUAAUUAUGACAUACAUACCAGGUCAAUUUAGAUUAUAUAACAAACAAGGAAAUGUAUUUAUGACACAUCCUUUUCCUGUGAGACCCAAUCUCCCACAUGUUGCGUAGCCAAUUUUAUAACCCUCAAUCAAGAUAAGCCCCAACACAUAAUUUAUGAUAUUAUUAAUGAUCAAUAUUAUAAAACAUUGGACAAUGUGAAUGACAUCCGAUAUGAAUUUACCAUCAUUUCACAAGUUUGACUCCCCCGUGUAUGUAUAACAACUUACAUAGGCCUAUUUGUAGACUCCGCAGCAGAUCACUUGUUCAGAGAACUUAUAUGAGAAGAUUCUUGGAUUUAAUUAUAUAUACAUAUUUAUAAUUACUGGUAAAGUUUAUAAGUGAUUAGUAACUUCUCAAUACGUUAUACAAUUCACACAAAAUAAGUUUACAGUAACUUAGAAUGAAGAGUUAAUUAAUAGGCUAAACAAUUUACUCAAAAACCUUAAUAGUAAGUUCCGAGUUGCCUAAUUUGCCGAAGCUCCUUGCUUCCUUCUACAUGAAGAGUUAUGGCCUAAGCAUAUGUAAUUACGAAAAAUUCACCUGGUCAAUAUAUAGAUUAUAUAAUAGUCAAGGUUAUGAAAUUAUCCCUGAAAAACCGAAUCUCCCAUGUGUUGUGUAGCCAAUUUUAUAAACCUCAAUCAAGCUAAGCCCCUACAAAUACAUUAUGAUACUAUUAAUCAUCAAUAUAUAAAACCAUGGAUGACAUGAAUGACAUUUGACAUUGAUUUACCGUCAUUUCACGAAUUUGACUCCCCCAUCUAUUUACAACAGCUAACAUAGGCCUGUUUGUGGACUCCACAACACAUCACCUUUACAUUAAAUAAACAAAUUGCUCAAUAUUCACAAUGAAAUAUUUAAAAUGUUAUAAUUUCUUGAAAGAUCAAUGCUGAAUAUGCUUUGAUAGCAACCUAUUCUCGAAUGGGAAUUCCACGGUUUAAUUGUAAGGAAGCAAAUCAUCAUACAAACGCCCCUUUUUUUCCCUUUUCAAAAUGUUUAUCAAAGUUGGUUUUGUUGUUUUUGCAGGGCUUCCAAAAAUUGAAGUACAUUAAAUUUAGUCACUUUGAGUCGCUGGUUCACAUGCCUGACCUCUCAUGUACUCCAAAUCUUGAGGAAUUACAUUUUAAUAAUUGCAAAAACUUGGUAGAAGCCCAUGAGUCUCUUGCACAUCAUGACAAGUUAUGGUGUUGGAUAUCCAGGAGCGCUCUAGACUUAGUGCUUUUCCAAAUGAGCUCAAGUAAAAAAAUCUUCAAACUCUCACACUUAAAAAUUGCACAAAGUUCGAAAGAUUCCCUAAUAUUCCAUAUAAACUCGAAGCUUUAGAAUGGCUUCACUUACAAGGGACUUCUAUAAAAGAACUUCUUGCAUCAAUAGAAAAUCUUGUCUCUUUAAAGGAAAUGCAUUUGAAUACAUGCAAGAACCUGGUUAGUCUUCCAUCUAGCAUUUAUAAGUUACAAAACCUUGAAAUAUUGCGCAUUAAGUGUUGCACUAAUUUAAUCGAGUUUCCAAAGUAAGGGGAUUUAGCUGAUCCAUGCAUGAAGAUUGGACUUUCAAAUUUACAGGAGUUAGACCUUGAAGGAUGUAAUCUAUUUGAAAUAGAGUUCUUGAGAAUCUUUCUUGUUUUCCCCUCUUAGCUAAAUUAUUUCUGAUAAGAACAAUAUUACUAUCCUUCCUCCAUCCAUCAGUAAGCGUGAUCAUUUGUUUAUAUUGAGAGUUGAAAACCACCAUCAAUUACAAGAGAUUUCAGAGCUUCCCCCAUUUUUGGGUUAGCUUUGGGCGGAUAACUGUGAAUCUCUGCAAAAAAAGUGAAGAUUUAACCUCCAUUUAUUAUCUUGUCCGUAGAGGUUUGGCUAAUACGGUUGACUCAUUUGGCAGGGAUACGGUCAAUAGUGUGCUUGUAUAUAGUGUGCUUGUAUAUUGCAAUAGCAAAAAAUGCAAGAUUGAAAGCUUAGAAAAGCAAACAAAUAUGAAGGGAUUCUGCACGUAUAUGCAUAUAAAAUUUGUGGCUUUAGUACUUUUGUGGGAAUAAUUUCUAUUGCAUGAGAGUCGUCCAUUAAUGCAAGCAAGGGUCAAUGGAUUUUUUCAUUUGGGUACUAAUACUAACUUGGAUACUUUCUACUAGUCUAUCUUUGUAACAGUAUGGGCCAAAUUUCAAAAUAAUUCUCCCUCAAGGAGAGAUGCCACAGUGGGUCCUUCCCAUUGAAGAGGAUUCCAUAUCUUUCAUGGUUUUAGAGGACUUAAAUAACAAGAUUCUUGGAUUGACAAUUUGUGUCGUUCUUGAUAAUGUUGAACCCUCGUUUGAGGUUUUAGCACAUGCUAUUGAUGGUGACAGGCAAAAUGAUAUAGAGGAAUUGUUCUUCUAUCCAUUGCAUUCAAAACAUAUCUGGCUCAACUAUAUCACACCACUUAAGUUGCGGGGAGUAGUCGAUUUUGGUCAAAUUGAUGGGAACAAUGUAAAGUUUAGCCCUACAAAAUCGACAAAAGUGAAAAGUUGGGGAUUCUGAAUAAUAUGCAAGCAACUGGGGAAUGAUUUGAAAGUCGAUCUUCGAGAUAAUCAACUGGUAGAUCUAGCUUUACUCUACAAGAUCGGUCAUGAAUCAACAAAUACAAUGGCUAGGAGUUCACUUAUGCACGAAGAUAAUUUGAGUGAAGUAGAUCUACAGGACUUGCAAGAUUUUCAAGUGAGUGGUGAGGAACAAAGUCAAAUAGUACCAAAGGGUAGGGGUGUCAGGAACCGAACUGAAAAUCGAACCGAACCGAAAAAUUCAGUUUUUUCGGUUCAGUUCGGUUCAGUUUUCGGUUCGGUUCUCAUUAAAAACCGAAAUCUUUUUUUUAUCGAUUUGGUUUUUAUCAGUUAACCAAACCGAACCGAACCACAAACCAAUAAACAAACCAAUAUUGUUUGCUUGAUUUCUCAUCAUUUACUCCCCUAUUUUUGUCUUUCCUAGUUUUGCAAAUUGUGGAUUGUUCAUAGUGAGUGAAUCGCAACUAUUUUCUCCCAUUUCUUUCCCCCGCUCUGGCUCGUCGCCGUUCCUUUCGGCGUGCUUCGGUCGAGCAUGAGAGAGCCUUGAUCAUCAGUUGGAGAGGCUCUCCCUCUCCGUUUCGUCGUCUUCCUCCUCCGUCGCUCCACUUCAUAAAUUCUCUCUCUCUCUCUCUCUCUCUCUCUCUCUCACAUCGUCUUCUUCCCUCUGCUGUAAUCUCUCUCUCUCUCUCUCUCUCUCUCUCGGUCACUCUUUGGCCGAUUCGCUAGUUUUUUUGGGGGCGGGGGCGCUUUUUGGGGGACUGUUCAGUCGUCGAUUGGAGUGAGUAGAGAAAGGCUGGGGUUUUGUCCAUUUCCUUCUCAAUUCCGGGGAUGAUGAUUGGAUAAUGAACGAUGCUAGUAUGCCAUAGUGGCAUGCGCAAGGGCCGAGCUGCAUAGGGAGUCAACCGAUAGGGACCAAUCGACGCCGCCAGGGGCGUGAUCGUGACCAGGACGCGGAGGUGGCGUGCGGUGGCAGCGGCGACGACCGGAGCUAUGCCAACGGAUAACAAGCGAGGGUGGGAGGAGAAGGCCGUCGAGGGGAACGUGCUCGUGGAGGCGGCGGAGGCAAAGGAGGGGAAAACGGAGGAUCAGAGGGAGGGGAAGGUCACAGGGUGAUUUUGAACAGGAAAAAAAAAAGCUAAAAAUCGAAAACCGAACUGAACCGAACUGAACCGAACCAAAAUUUCAGUUAAGUUUGUACUCAGUUCGAUUCGGAAGAUUUUUCUAACGGUUUGGUUCCAUUCGGUUUUUUUUUUUUUUUAAACUGAACCGAACUAAACCAUUGACACCCCUACCAAAGGGAAAUCAUGAGCUUUUCUCCCUUGAGGCAUGCGAACCAAAACCGUGGAGACUUCUAAUUUGAUGGACAGAGAUGUGCAUGUGAUAUCUUGAAUUUUUUACCUGUCCCGAUAAAAUGAAAUGGGCAUCUCAUCGACACACCUAUGGUCAUUUUUCUCUAAGCUGAUCACUCAUGAAUUAAUCAAUCUAUUGGGUGAAGCCGUUAAGGAAUAUAAUCGCGGUAAAAUCCCUAAAAGCUAUGCUGCAGGUCGGAUUGGACUAAAAUCAUGUUUGGUUGAUUUUAACCAUGAACUUGAAUUCGGUUUCGAAAAUCAGACGUUCGAGCAUUUCACGAUUCAUUUAUAAGACGUCGUCUUGUCUUUCGGAGAGAUUCCGUCGAGUUCAGGAUUUUUACGAAAAACUGAUUCGAAUGAUUCGGAAAAACAACAGAAAUUUGGAUGGGCCAAAUCAAAUGGAUUUUUAGCCUCCUUACCGAGUGAUUUGGUGGUGAGGAUUUGUAGAAAUUGUGUGGGCUUUUUUCUACAACAAAAUUGGACAUCAAAUUGAGAGAUUUGAAAAGAAAUUGAGGUCCAAAAUUAAAGAAAUUCCAAACUAGGCAUGGGGGUGCAACAUUUUGCUUCAAAUUGAUUUAUUUGUGGAUUAAAAGGCAAGAAAGUAUUAAGGGGGACCAAGCAUUUAUGUAAGAAAAUAUUUUAUUUGACUUUGGGUUCAUCCUUAUCCAUUUCUUCCCAUCUUCUCGACCAAGCUUCGCUGGCCGACUCCCCCUCCUUUCUCUCGAGCGACCGUCCCCUCUAUCAUUUUUCCUGCAGCCUUGUUUUCUUUCUCUUUUCCUUCGCUGCCCCCGUUUUCAUUUCUUUUCCUUGCACCUUCAUUUUUGUUUGUUCUCUGCAACCAAAGACCCCACCAUCCGCUAUCUCCCUUGCCACACGUCCGCAAGCCACCACCAUUGAGUCAACUUCUCUUUCUUUGAAAUCCAAGUGUUGACCCUCCUCUUCGUGUCUCCCUUGGACUGCCCCCAAAACCUCACCGAAGCUGCCACUUCACCCAUCUAUCCAGCUGCUUCUUCGUCUGCUUCCGUCGAUGCCAGCAAACGGGUCAACAAACCAGCGAAGCCCUCCCCAAAGUUGACUUCAACAGCUCACUCCCACACCCACCGAAGUCACGCCAGUCCACACAUCUCCUGUAUAGCCUUUCUUAGGGGUGAUCGGGUCCAGGAUGGGUAGGGUCUAGAUCUGAACCAUAUACCCGACCCUGUUAUAACCGGUUCUCUUUUUUUGGACCAUGUUCCCGACCUUGUUUGCAUUAGACCCUGUUCCCAACUCACCCUAUUUUUCCGGUCUAGGAACAGGGUUAACCCUGUUUAUAUUAGAACCUGUUUUGCAUAAAAAUUACUGUACAACACUCAUAUGUAAAAUAAAGAAACGCUUUAUCUUACAACUAGAACGACCCCUCUUAAUGUGACAGCAACAAGUUAGCAAAACCAGCAUAAUAAUUGUUGUAUAAUCUAUCAAUGAAACUUGAAAGGUAAAUGAUUUACACACCAUAACAGUUUCAUGAUCAAUACAAAAUCAAUCGGUGAAACGUGAAAGAGGCAACGCAACCAUUUUAAAAUUGGAAUCCAUUGUGAAACCGAAAAAGUAAAAUAUUUAAGAAUGAGAGAGCGACUAUUAUCGCUCAUUCGUAUAACUAAUCAAUGAAACUAAUAAUUUCUAAUUACCAAACAUCACUAACUGGUGGCGAGCGGACCAGAAGUAGCAUCAAGGUCGUCGCGCGGUGAGGACAGGGAAAACGGUGGAGCUGAGCUGUCGGCGGUAGGGGCGUCGCUCAAGAGUAGGCUCGGAGUAUAUUUGUUAGGCAUCGGAGCAACGGAGCAGAUCUGUUUGGCGUCAAGCAGAGGAGGACCCAGCAGCGGCUUCACAAGGGAGGGCAGCACAAGCGAGGCACUGCAGUAGGGGGCUAGGUGGGACGCGGCGACAUCGGGUCGACGCAGAUCGGCAUAGUAGCAGCUUCGAUGGGCUACUGAUAUCGCGACUGGUGAGGGCGGCAAGGAUCGAUGCAGCUUCAGCAAGCAUUAGUGAGGGGGCUAGGCCAGAUCAUGAGCAGAGCAGGGGGGUGUCGUUCGGGCGGCGGAAGAUCGGCAGCAGGGGAGCUUGGGAAACAGCACGCGAUGAGUACAUGAUUGGUGGAGGGCUACUGUGGGUUGCUCGAAGAUGCGACAAGGUGGGCUUGCGGACGCGAGAUUUGUAGGUUAGGGGCAUCAGCGAGGCAACAAUAGUAGGUGGAAUGGCAAGAUCGAACGAAGGUGGCAUCGGCGCUCAGGUGCGAGCUCGGCGAGGGCCAGCAGCUUCGCAGGCAGAACCAAUGGAGUGGAGCUUCAAAUGAUCGGCGGAACGGCGGCGGUGGUGUGAGCGCAAGGGGUGCGACGAGAGUAGCAGAGGCGGCGUCGGCUUCGUGAUUUCAGGAGGGGAGCUCGGACUCUCGAAGCAAGGCUGGCCGGUCGCGAUUUUGGGAGAGGUAAAGAUAGAAAGUAGAAUAGAUUAGGGUUUUAUGUUGGUCUUUUUGGGGGGCUUACAAACCGAUCCUCCAACCGGUUCGGUCGAUUCGGUUCCCGAGUGGGUAAUCCCUCGGAACUGGUUCCGGGACCGGUUCAAACAGGGUUUGAGUUUUGGGAACCAAUUCCCGAAUCAGUUUCAACCGGAACCGGUUCUUGACCCUGUUUUCCGGGUGGGCUGGACUAAGAACCGGGUAAACCUAGUCCGGUUGCACACCCCUAGCCUUUCUACCGAGUCAACCUCCAGCAACGAAGACUCCAGCAGCAGAGAUGAAAUUUCCCUCUUUCACUGCCUCACGCCCGUGCAUCGUCCUCCGUCCCACACGCUCAGCCAGCUGCUGAGUCAAACUUUCCCAAACAGCCUUCGAUUGUUGACUCCUCACGUGAGCCCAUCUCCACGAAAUCAACUUCAGCAGCCCGUGCAAUUUUCUUCCAGCCUAGUCCAGUUGAAGUCAUCAACCAUGCAAGCUUCAGCCCAUGCCAGCAAUUCUAGUCGGCCAGCCCAUCUUGAGCCUAGUCACAAGCGCAUCUUCAACCCAGCUUCCAUCUCCAAGCAAUUUUACUUUUAGCCCACUUGAAGCUCAGCCUAGUUCAGUGUUUCUAGCAGCCCAACCCGCGGCUCAACCAAACCCAGAGUCAAGGCCAGCAGUAAUUGCGGGCCUUGCAAGGCUUGUUUGGCCCGGUCCAAGCCCAGUGGUGCCGCCGCAAUCUCAAGUUUCGGCCACUGUCGCGCCUCAUCAAUUUGAUCCAAGCGGAUCAUCGAUCAAGUGAGUUUUACUCACUAAUCCCUACUUAGUAGGCUAAUGAUGCUUAGGGGUUGAUUAAAUUUAAUUAAGUAUGAUUAGGUGGAUAGAUUAUAGUAGAGUAAUUAAAUUAGUGCCUUAUCAAUGCAUGUUAGGCAAAUUAUUAGUGACAUUAGCAAGUAGACUCGUGUUAUUAUUUAUUGAACGAGUCUUGAAAAUUUUCUGGGUCCAUUUCGGCUUCCAAUUAGGUAUUAUGGGCCUAAAUUGGAUUUAUUGCAUUUAUUUAAUAUUUUUUGCAAUUAUUUAAUUAUUUAAUUAUUUUUUGAAAAUUAGGCUGGGAUAGCUAACAACCGGAAUUUAUGUUGAUUAUUGUGGUGUAGUCCAUUUACUAAUUUAUUUAUUUGAACGUUGAUUUGUGUUGAAUUGAAUUAAUUAUGAUUUUAGGAUUUUAUUCAUAAGUUAAUUAAUUUUGGUAAUUAAUUGAAAAAUUACCAGCCGUCGAUUUACAGCGCCAAAAAUAUAUUAUGGGCUGUUGAAAUUAGUGGGAUAUUUAAAAAGGGGAAAUUAUUAUAUUUUGGCUAAGGUCGACCGUGUACCCAUACAUGAUCAUUUUUACCAGGUACUCUUAACCCAAGGAAAAUAGGCCAAGAUAAUGUGUUAAUUGAGAAAUUUAUUUAAGGAGUGUAAUGUUGUUGGCCGUAAAUGAAUUAUUGGAUGACAUUGUGGGUUAGAUCAAGAAAACUGCCGAAGUUCGGUUAUGUCCAUUGGACCGUAGGUCACCACCUAAUCUAGUUGUGUUCGCUGAGCCGUAAUUUAAUACCACCAUCGAACUUGGAAUCGGUUGUGCACGCUGAGCCGUAAUUAAGCGUUACCACCAAAUUUGGAAUCGAUUGUGCCCAUUGAGCCGUAAUUCAGCAUUAACCACCGAAGAAUUAGUAAGCCAUGCUCGCUAAGCCAUAAUUCAACAUUAACCGCCGAAAAAUUAGCAAGUUGUGCCCGCUGAGUCAUAAUUUAGCAUUACCGUCAAAGUUUUAGUAGGCCGUGCUCGCUAACCCGUAAUUCAACGUUGGGGUUGAGUAUUUGAAAUGCAUGGGUAAGCCGUGCUCGCUGAGUCGUAAUUCAGCAUUGAAUUUGAGUAAAUGAGAUGAGCCGACCAAGAAAGGGUUCAAGAUAACAUGUAAUCAACUAGGUCGAUUGAUGUUAUGAAUUGAUUGAAUGAUGUGAUAUAAAGCAUCUGUAAAUAACGUUAAUUUGCAGGAUGGAACUGAGGCCGAGGUAAGUCCUCCGUCUCGUGUUGUGCUUAGGCAGCCCUUAGGGCGUAUUGACUUCCUAAUCGGGUCUUAGGGGAUAGAACUUGCCGAGACAUUGUCUCACUGGUUAUUGUAUAACCAUUUUCAAGUCCCUAGUUGAAAGCGGUGGGGAACCCGAGGCCCAAAGUUCAAAAGGUGAAGCUCGGAGAAUCGGUAAGUACGUUUGAUUAGCUAGUCCUAGGACAUUUCUCUUUUGUUGAAAGCUGAUUCCUUUUUGUAGGUUUUUGUGUAUAAACCUGUGUAUUUAUAAAAAUGUCUUUUGUGAAAAAUUGGUCAUACUUUCCUAUCCUAUUGUUUUAUUGUCUGGGAAUUUCAUAUCCUUUUGCAUGCGUAUAUUAAAUGAAUGGGUUGACGAUGCAUCCUGGAACGUCGCUAUUUAAUCAAUAGUGAGAGAUAGGCGCGCACUCGAGGAUCGGGGCGUCACAAUACAUGACAAUUUUUGUUUGCUGCUUUUGUUGUUAGGAUGAUGGGAACUUACCAAGUAAGCAAUUCUUAGGUAAGUGAACUCAGCUGAUAUUACGACCAAAAAAAAAAGAACGCAACUGAUCUCCCUUACAAUGUUUUUUUUCCCCUUCUCGUUUUCUUUUCUCAAUAACACAAUGUUAGUACUCAAAACCCAUAACUAUAUAUAUAUAUAUAUAUAUAUAUAUAUAUAUAAUAUCCAUUGAGGUUUUUCAUGUGUCCACUUCAACUAGCGUUGACUUUGCCAACUAUAGCGAUAGAAAUGAUCAACCUUGGAGAGAACUAGAUAAUGGGGCUUUGGAUGCACAGUUGAUGCUGGUAGGAGUGGAGAGACAAAUUGGAAGAGAAAGACACAAACUUCCAUUGGAGCAUAUAGAAGACAAAGGCAUCAGACAAGAGAGAGACGCACGCAUCCAACGACACUCUCUCUUUCUUUGCACUUUCAUUUCCACGUAUUUUCAAUUCAAUUCACUUCCUUUAUUUAUAAUUUUGAUUUCCAAUGCAUCCGCUUUUCUUCCCACUUCAUUAUCCCGUAGAUUUAUCACUCAAUCCAAGUCCUCAUUCGCCAUUUUUAUCUUAGAUACGAAAUCAUUAAGCGAUCCCAAUCGCUUUCCCUUCACUUUACUAUUUCUGUAAAUAAAUUUAAACACAUGUUCCAUAACAACCUCAAGGGUAUAGUUAUUUUCACUAUGUUAUUCUUUUUUUUCUUGAAAACUAACAUUUUGAAAAAUAUAAAUGCUGAAUUUUUUGCAAAAUAAAAAGAGCGUAUUGAAAUUCGAUUUUCAUCUUUCACGACAAUUUAACCUUCCGUCUAAUUAUGUACUCCCAUCAUCCCCUAUUAAACCUUUUUAAUUUAUUAUUUUUCUUUGAUUUUUCCCAUUGUUGUAAAAGUUUCUCCCUUUUCUCUUCUCCUGAGGUUCUAGGCUCCGUGCAGAUUGCUAUAAAUCAGGUAACGCCUGGCACGACCGAAUUUUUUGUUUUUUGUUUUUUUGUUUUGUUUUUUUGUUUAAGUUUUUUUUUCUUUGGUUAAUCCUACUCUAUUCCUACUCUACACUCACUCGCAAACUUGUGCCCUGCCUCCUGCAGGGCGUGGGAGUCGCAACUCACUCUCGAAACUUAUGCAUCCCUACCCCCAUCCCCCUGAGGAGGUGGGGAUUUGAACCCCUCACCUCCCCCUUCCAUGUUGGAAGGGUGACCACUGGGUGAACCCCCAAUGGUUUUUUUGUUUAAGUUAACGUAAUACUUGAGAUGGAUUUUGAAUUCAAUUCGGUUGGUGCUGCAAUUGCACGGGAACUUGAAGGGUGUGUUGUUGAAUUUGUUGGAGAGACGCUGAAUGGGUGUUUCUUCGUAAGUUUUGUUUGUGGAUGCUGGAUAGUGAAUUCAUAGAUUGUUGACGUUACACGCUACAAAAUCAGCGAUAAUCUCUGGAAGGGUAUAGUUUUCUUUCUUUGUUUUCAUAGGCGGGAAUUUACUGAAAGAAGUAGGUGAAGUCUAGGUUCGAAGGAAAAACAAGCGAGGAAGACUGAAAUAAUGGGAAGGAGGGUGUACAUUCGUUGGUUCAGUCCCCUUCUCAGGUGAAAAAUUGAGCAAAUCUGGGUGCUGUAGGUUGGGAGGGAGGGAGGGAGGGAGGGAGGGAAUUGGGUGCUUCUGAGGGUCUAGGAAAUGUGGAUGUGUAGUAUGUACUCAUCGUACAUAUGUGCAGCGGGUGAUCAGUUUGUCAGGAGAAUUGAAUUCUGAGAAACUUCGAUCACUGGGAUAGAGGGUUCUGUCUCUAUGUUUUAUGAGGCGCUUGAAGAGCCAAAACCAUGGAGGAAUGAAGAAGAUGCAGUGAGAUGGCAAGGAACUAGGAAAGGUUGCUCAAUAGUGGAGUCCUUUAACUACAUCUUGACAUUGGCAACUAGGGAGAAUUGAAAACCAAAUUUACUUGGAGUGUGAGAGUAAUAUCAAUAUCGGUUGUGUCCGUGGAUAAUUGGUUAGGUGGUUAUUUUCUUUCGCCUGUGAACUGUGGAUAUGAAAAAGAAAUAAUCACAAGAAACACGGAGUUUACAUAAUCUAUUCAGUAGAACAGAGACAAAAGCACAAGAAGCUGAUUGUUGCUUAUGAAUUAUGAGGCUUUUGCAAUAGUUCAGGAUUCUUUUUUUAUCCUUAUGUGCUGUGGUUUUUAAGAAGGAAAAUGACUGAGAAGCUAAAACUCCUAGAUGCUUCUUGAAUUUUUGAGUGAAACCUGAUUAAUGAAAGGUUAACUUCUGAGCUACCAAUAAUAAGACACACUGGAAUGAGUAACAUGUAGUUUAUCAUAUUAGUUGUUGUUUUUGCUUUGGUGUUGUUAGAGCCAGAUCAGUUUGAGUGUUAUGUGGGAUUUGCAUCUGAAUUACAGGAUGAGUAUGUAUUAAUAAUCAUUAAUUGGAAGUUUGUGACCAGUAUGUUAUACUGGACUCGCAAGAUCUUGAUCUUAUAGUUGCAAGAUAUGGAUUCAUUUCAUUAGUAGCUGCAUAUUGAUACUGAAAUAUUUCUACUGUUGGCAACUUGAUGCCGAUUUCUUCCUGAGUUACCUAUUGUUCUCAUAAUUUGUUCUCCUAACAAGUAACGAGACCUAUUUGCCUCUUUUGUACAAAGCGCAACAUUGAAGUUCCGGUCAUGUAAGAAACUGGUUUUGGUAACCAGGUGCAUUUCAGAUAUGUUGUUUAUUUUCUAUGAAGAUGAUUAGUAUUUCAGUCUUCAUUAGUGAAUGAUCUCAAAUUUAUUUAUGUUAUAGCUUGAUUGAACAGCUAUGUGAUUGUUGAGAUGCGAACAUCAUUCCAGCAGGAAGAAACUGGUGUAGUGAGACAUGAAAUGUAUAUUUGUCAUUAUCAUGAUUAGCCCGCAAGGUGUUCGUUAAAAUUGCCUAGGGAAAAUUGUGUUGAACAUCUCACCGGAUAAGCAUCUUUUGUGAAUGUAUACUAGAGAUGACAGUGGUAAAUUAGAGAUGAUGUAGAGAGGACCUUAAAUGAGCACAGAAGUACAGAUUCUAUACCUGCAGUUGUCCUGCUUUAUUCCUGGUCUGAACUCAAUUGGGGAGAGGGCUUGUUAGGCCGUGGACCUCUGAGUCCAUGAUGGAAUUUUGUACUGGUGUGUGGUGAGGUACUGCUUGGUUGGUGCAUCAAUUAGACUCCAUUGAAAAACGAUUUUCCCAUAUGGGCAGUUUAUGCUAGUUUGGUCUGGAGAAUUCUGUGGUCUCCUAGUGAACAUGCAUACUCCACAAAAAUCCUUUUUUUACCUGGUCAUCUAUUAAAACACUUGGGUAUGGAUAGUGCUCCAUACUUUUUUGGAAAAUGACUUCCACCUUGAAUAAGUGCUUCUUUGUAAGUGUUGUCUGUGGAUGCUUGGUAGUGCAUCUAUUGGUAAUCGACAUUACAUGCAGCAAAAUCAGCAACAAUCCCUAGAAGUUAUAGGUUUUCUUUCUCUCUUUUCAUAGGUGGUAAUUUAUUGAAAUAAGUAGGUGAAGUCUAGCUUCAACGGAAAAACAAGCAAGGCCACGUGCAACAAAGGGAAGUUGGGUGUACAUGGGGUGGUUUAGUUCCCUUUUCAGGCAAAAAACGGAGUCAAUCCGGGUGUUGUAGGUUCAGAGGGAGGGAGGGAUGGAUUUGGGUGCUUUUGAGUUGUCUAGGAAAUGUGGAUGUGUAGCAUGUGCCUAUUAUAAAGAUGAGCAGUGGGUGAUAGGUUUGCCAGGACAAUUAAAUUGUCAGAAACUUCGAUCACUGGGAUAAGACUCUGUGUUAAGUUUCAUAAGGCUUUUGAAGAGGCAAAACCAGAGAGGAAUGAAGAAGAUGCAAUGAGAUGGCAAGCCACCAGGAAAGGUUUUUGCUUGAUGGUGGAAUCCUUUUACCACCUUUUGACUUUAGCACCUAGGGAAAAUUUAAAACCAAAUUUACUUGGAGCGUGAGAAUAAUGUCAACAUCAGUUGUACCCAUGGAUAAUUGGUUGGGUGGUUAUUUUCUUUGGCACUGCGGUGUGGAUAUGGAAAAAGAAAAAAUCACGAGAAACACAGAGUUUACAUAAGUUAUUCAGUGGAGUAGAGACAAGAUCCCAAGAUGCUGACUGUCAAUUCUGAUUUGCGAGGGCUUCACAACAGUUUUAGGGAUCUCUCUUUAUCCUUAUAUGCCAUAACAUUUGUAAAGGAAAAUGACCCAAAAGCUAAAACUCCAGGAAGCUUCUUGAACGUUUGAGUGAAACCUCAUUAACCAAAGAAAAGCCUCUGAGGUACCCAUGAUAACACACACUGAACUAAGCAACAUGUAAUUUCUCGAAUUAGUUCUCAUUUUUGCUGUGCUGUUGUUGGAUAUGGUUAGGUGGGAUUCGCAUUUGUAUUACAGAAUGAGUAUGUGGUGAGACAUGCAUUUGUUCCAUUGGUAGCUGCAUAAUGAUACUGAAACAUUUUUACUGCCGGCAAGGUGAUGCAGAUUUCCUCUUGAAUUUGCCUUUAUGCUUGCAUACAUGAGAGAAUUUUGACUCUUAUUCUCGUUUUUUUCUCCUAACAAGUAACAAGAUCUAUAUAUUUUCUUAAAUAAGGCAAAGCUUGCGUUGGACAGCCUUGAAGUUGCAGUUGGGUAAGACACUGGUUUUCAGUAACCAGGUGCAUUGCAUAUAUGUUACUUUAUUUUCUAAUUAAGAUGAUUAGUAUUUCAGUCUUAAUAAGUGAAUGAUUUCAUAUUGGACUUGAUUGAACAGCUGUGUGAUUGUCGAGGAUGGGAACGUUAUUGCGGCAGGAAGAAACCGGAUAACGUCCCGCGAGUCCGGCCCACAGGGACAACAGGAGCAGAGGAGCCUGUCGUCAUGAUGAGAUUUCGUGCCGUUUUCCCAAAUCUCAGAUGCUCUUGCACAUGUUCAUUCCCUUCUUCAUGGCUCAGUUCAUCCGAAACCUGCACCCAUCCCUCCAAGGGCUUGUUCAGACAUGCGGGUCAUGCGACCCGUGACAGUCCCACAGUCUCUGGACACCUUAGGAACGAAAGCCCAGAUGAAACUCGAGAGGUUUUGGACAAAUUUCAAUGCCUAGAUGUUCGUUCAUUUACGAAGAUGAUCGUGGAUCGCGUGCGAACUGGCCGCCUUGAUGACGCCCUGAAACUGUUCUACCAAAUGCCCGUGAGAGAUGCAAUUUGCUGGAACACGAUGAUCAAAGGCUGCUUGGACUGCAUGGACUUGACGGCGGCAGAAGAGCUUUUCGAUGAAAUGCCUGAACCAGGUGUUGUUUCGUGGAACGACGAUGAUAGAUGAGUUCUUUCGAUUUGGACAGGUUGAGUGGGCAGAGGUAUUUUUCAAGCAGAUGCCCAUAAGAGAUCUUGCUGCAUGGAAUGCAAUGAUUCAUGGGUAUUGUGAGAAUGCCAGAGUGGAUGAUGCUGUGAAAUUGUUUGAGCAAAUGCCUUCCCGAAAUGUGAUCUCAUGGACUUCAAUGAUUGGUGGGCUUGACCAAAACGGUAAGAGUGAAGAAGGAUUAAAUGUAUUUGAGAGAAUGUUCAAGUCUGGUGUUGUGCCCAAUCUGAGUACUUUGAUGUGUGCAUUGAGUGCAUGUGCAAAUGCAUUGUCUUUCCCUCUUGGCGUGCAGAUUCAUGGUCAUAUUCUUAAGUCAGGAUUCUGCCUUCGCGUAUUUGUAUGUGCUUCUCUUAUCACGUUCUAUGCUAACUGCAAGCGAAUUGAAAGAGCGACCCAAGUCUUCUAUGAAGCAGUGCAUAGGAAUGUGGUCAUAUGUACGGCUCUUUUAACUGGUUAUGGCUUGAAUGGUAGGCAUGAAGAUGGCCUAAAGGUGUUCAGUGACAUGAUGAGUACAAAGUGUUCUUCCUGAUCAAUCUUCAUUUGUAAGCACUUUAAAUUCUUGCUGUAGUUUAGAGUCUCUAGAUCAAGGUAAGGAGGUCCAUGCUUCAGCUGUAAAGCAGCAAUUGGGAAGUGAUGUAUUUGUUAGCAAUUCUCUUGUAGUCAUGUAUAGUAAGUGUGGAAUGCUUCACCUGGAAUGCCAUUAUUUGCGGGUGUGCACAACAUGGCCAAGGGAUGUGGGCUAUGGAGUUGUUUAGCCAAAUGAUACGCGGAGUGGUACAACCAGAUGAGAUCACACUCACGGGACUGCUUUCUUCGUGUAGUCAUUCUUGAACUUUCUUGUCAGUAUGAGUAUGGAAAUUACUCAACCAACAGCACAUUUGAAUCAAACUGAAGCUCCUUGAUUCACUAUUGUACAACACUGCAACAACGGGAUUCUACAACACUACUGUCGGAGAAGGCCUUAACCGAAUUUGUGGACAAGCUCUUUGCCAAGGAGACGCCAGUUCUGCAGCGUGUGAGGGCUGUGUCAGCAAUGCAAGCCAAGAGAUCAUGAACCUGUGCACUGCUGAAGAUGCACUAAUUUGGUAUGAAUUAUGCCAAGUACGCUAUUCCUUCCAAGAUUUCUUUUCGAAGAUGGUUUAUACUGGAAAAUACCCGGAUUCAGAUUAUCGGGAGAAACUUGCAUCUGACCCAGCCCGUUUCUAUACCUACUUGAUGUAUCUAAUGAAGAAUAUAUCCAAUGAGGCUGCGUAUGUUAACACUACUCAAAUGUUCGCGAUGGGGAAAAUAAAUAAAUCUGUGAGCCAGACAAUAUAUGGGCUAGUGCAGUGUACUAGGGAUAUGUCUGACAAGGACUGUGACAGUUGUUUGGACUCUGCCUUGGCAGAUCUAAGAGCAUGCUGCUAUACCCGGGAAGGUGGAAUGGUUGUUAGCAGAACUUGCAAUGUGAGUUAUGAGCUGUACCACUUUUUCAAUGGCUCGACAACUUCUACGUUAUCUUACCCAGCCUGCACAGGUAAGAAAAUGAAAUCUAUUGGAAAUUAGUAGGAAAAGAAAGCUAUAGUUAUCGCUGCAAACUUAACUUCUAUGCUUAUAUAUGGUUAGAACAAAAUCGAAAAAUAACGAUUAAAUUCACUGGCAUGAUGGAUUCUUUAGCUUUGAAUGUUGACAGAGGAGAUUUCUACAAGGGUCCAAGAUCCUAGAAAAUUGUUUACACCCUUAUUUUUAUUUCAGUCCCCUACGAAGAGGUCAACUUUUAGCAACUCAUUUUCCUGGUCUGGCUCUGUUUUCUCAGUAUUUCUGUUAGUAGCUUAGGUUGCUUUCGUUCAGUGAGUGCAGUCUCUAGUGAAACUUAUAUCAUAGAGAAUCUGAAGAGACUUAGCUUAUAUAUCCUUCACAAUGGCUAAAGCCAAAUAUGCAGGAAAAUUACUGAGGCAAUCUACUUAAGCUGAAAAGUUCUAAUUAGCCUCUUUAUUAUUGUAGGAUGCACUUCACAAUUGGCAUAGACAUUAAAUCUCUCUCCAUAGCCUAUUGAUACUUCAGGAUGUUAUCCAUAUAUUAAGAUAUUUAUUCAACUUACGAGGAAAACAGGGGAUAAAUGGAAGAAAGGGAUGAUUGGCCUAGUCAUUGGUGUCCUGGGACUCCUAUUAGCUGUUCUUGCCAGAUCUUGCGCCCUCUACUUCAACCGGAGAAAAGAAAAACAAGGUAUAUAUGAGAAAAUGGAUGUUUUAAUUCAUACCUUUUUUGAGAGCUAAUCCAGACUCGAGUACCUUCAGACCUGGAAAGAAGCCGCGUGCUUUGCUUAAUGAUUUAACAAAUCCAGUCCAAGUGGAAAUUACUGAAGAAGGCAACCUGGUUAGCUCUGAAGAACUUCCUUUCAUGGAUGUAGCCACACUAAAGGCCGCUACAGAUGACUUCUCAAGUUCAAAGAAGCUCGGGCAAGGGGGGUUCGGUACUGUCUACAAGGUAAUUUAUCCAUUGCUGUCAGUUUGCGAUUGUUGUCUGUUGAAGUCCAGUAUGUGGAGGGCUUAACCGAAUUAGCUUUCAGGGUUUGCUUUCUGAUGGAAAAGAAGUAGCAGUUAAAAGGUUGUCGAGGAAGUCUUGGCAAGGUCUCAAGGAGUUCAAGAAUGAGGUCAUCUUGAUUGCAAAGCUCCAGCACAGAAAUCUAGUGAGGCUUCUAGGAUGCAGCAUAGAGGGAGAUGAAAAGCUGCUUGUAUACAAGUUCAUGCCUAACAAAAGCCUCGAUAUCUACAUCUUCGGUGAAUUCUUGUGUCCUCCAACUUAGAACUCAUUUACUUAGAAUUUGUGCAUGUUGUAAAUUGUCCUCAUUAUUAACCUUUUUUGCAUGAUGCCCUUAUCUCCAGAUUCGGACAAACGUGCACAGCUUGAUUGGUGCACAUACGUUUCUAUUAUUGAUGGAAUUGCUAGAGGACUAGUUUACCUGCAUGAGGACUCAAGACUUAGGAUUAUUCAUAGGGAUCUUAAGCCUAGCAAUGUUCUGCUGGAUCAUGAAAUGGUUGCCAAGAUAUCGGAUUUCGGGAUGGCCAGAAUAAUUUGCGAAAACCAAAGUUUAGCUAAUACAAGAAGAGUCGUGGGAACACAGUGAGUCUGCUUCUUCUGAUUUUGUUCAGCUAGAAAAUCUAGGAGUUUCUUGUUCUUUCCAAGGAAAACACUCUACUUGGUUCUUCAUUAAGAAGGUACUAAAUAGAAAAGACUAAUGCCAACUUUCAUACUUGUGACAGUGGUUAUAUGGCCCCAGAGUAUGCAAUGGGGGGACUAUUCUCUGUAAAAUCAGAUGUGUUCAGCUUUGGUAUCAUUUUGCUUGAGAUCAUCAGCGGAAAACGAAGUAGUGGAUUUUAUCUUACAGAACAUGCUCAGACACUUCUUGCAUAUGUAUGUUCAACAUUUCACGGGAAUCAAAAUCAUGCCUUUUAAUCAUGUUUUGAGCUGAAAAUACUCGGUGUCUGCCAAUCAUUCAUUUUGCACCAAAAUCAAUUUUAUCUUGCAGGCGUGGAAACUAUGGACUCAAGGACAAGAGUUGGAACUCGUGGAUCCUUCUCUAGCAAAAUCAGGCUCAACAGCUGAAAUAGUCAGGUGCAUUCACAUUGGGCUCUUGUGUGUACAGGAAGAUCCUGAAGAUAGACCAACAAUGUCGGAAAUAGUGACACUUUUGGGAGGUCAAAAAGGAACUCCUCCGGAACCAAAAAAACCGGCAUUUUCAGUUGAUAGAUUAGUUCAAGAACUCAAUCAAUCAUCGGCAACUAAUCUUUCUGUCAAUCAGAUGACUGUUUCUAGUAUCUUGCCUAGGUGAACAAGCACGUAUAUUGAGUAAGGUUUCAUUUGCCCACGGUUGUAAGAUUCUGCACUGAAUAGAGGAACUUGUCGUGUUUUGGAAAUAUUACUAUGCUCAUGAAAAUCAUUGUAUAAACAAUCGAGACAAUUGCACAUGGAGAAUGUCGAUUUGGUGACGAAAAGAAAUUGCAUAAAUUGUGGGGACCCAUGUAACCAUAGGUGGAUCAAUGAAAAUUCUGUAAAUCAGAGGCUCCAUACAUUUUCUUGAACUGAAGCAGCGUCCGUGCAAUUGGGCUUUUCUCUAAUAGAACGCCAGUUCAUUCCAAGUUUUGGAUGUUGAUAAUGGUCACUACAGCAUGGGACUUAUAGAGUCUAGUGCAGGAGGGAAAUAUUUGUUCCCUUACUAAUGGUCAAUUGGCUAUUGAAUCCUCCUCUUUUUUUCUUUUUUGGGCCUUUCUCUUCCUGAUAUGAUUAAUAGUAAGACGAAGAUAGACGAGCAAGAUCACUAAUAGCCCUGUCAUCGACAGUCACAACUUACAGGAUUCACAACAUGGCAUUAAGAGAUUAUGCCAAACUGGAGUCGAAUACGAGACAUCUUGAUUCGCAAAUUGUUAGGUCCGAGUUGCCAAGUCUGAAUCAUCACUUUCACGAAUUAGCUCAACUUGUUCCUUGGAUUGAGUUGCCAUUAAAAAAUCCCUCAACUAACACAUUUUUUUAUAAUGACAGAACCUUAUAUUAGUAGACUAAAGAGAAGAAGACAAGUCUUGUAUUGGUAGUAUGAAGAUGAAAUUUCCUUGGGGUUGGCUAUUGUCACGACCUUUUUUUCGAUGCCCAAUCAGGGAGGGGCGGCUGCGGAGGCUAACGGUUUGGCUAGAUCUAUUAGGUAUAGUCUGAGUUCUCCCAAACCCACAAAUUCACAACUUAAUGGUUUAAUAUUUUUAUCUAUAAGUUAAGAAGUUGCCACUAAUCAAUUUAGGAUAAGUCGAUUAGAAACCCAAGCAAAAUAUCAAGAGAAAUACUCGCUUCUGCACAAUCAAAGAAAAUAGAUUUGAGGACUUGAUUAUACUAGUCAAUCUCUAAUACCUUUUAGGUAUCUAAUUGGUUAUACUGGUCAAUCAUUAAUAUCUUUUAGGUACCUAAUCUUCUUUAAAUCCUAAAAGUUUUUUUUUUUUUGGAUUUUUAAGGGGUUUUCCAUACAUUCGUGGGGGAAAAAUAAUCUUUGGACCUUUUUUUAUUAUUUUUUGGAUGAAUUUUUUUUUUUUGGAUUUUUGAUCUUUUUUUAAAAAGAUAAAUCAUUUUUGGCUUUUUUUUCUGAUUUUUUUGUGCUUUUUUGGUAAAAUAUGAGAUAUUUUUGAUAUUUCUGAUUUUUUGUAAAAUAAAUUAUUUUUUACUAUUAAAAUAUUUUUUAUUAAAAUAAUAUAAUACUAUGAACGACCCAGGUCGUAUUCCUGGGUUGGGCUCGACCCGGGUCGCCUACCAACUGCCUAGACAGGCCUGCCGCACGGGCCCAAAUCCGGUUUCCUCAACCCAUAAAGUUGGCCCACGAAUUUACCGAAGCCCUAUCCGGUUGAGAUCCACGCCCAACCCGGUUUUUUGAGAUCCACGCCCGACCGCGACCCGAUGGACGACCCUCUCCUUGCUCGCGGCUGAGGCGUCGCUGGGCAGACGGACGGCGACAACGAUGGCGAUGAGCAGCUCAACUUACAGCGGCGGGCCACUCAACGAGGCGGCGUCACAGUACGGCAGCAGCAAGCGAAGCUCGCGUCGAGGGACCGGCGGUCGUGACGGCGAGGUGGCAGGCGGUGUCGGAGGACGGUGGCUCGUCUUGAGGCGUCUGGUGGCGGAACAGCAGCGACGGGCGACGGCGAAGUGGAGCCACGCUACGAGGGAGCGCCAGCGACCCCGGCUGGCGUCGGUCCGGUGAGCUCAGCUCGGCGAUGGUGAAGUAGCGACGGACGGCGGCUCGAGGUUUGCCGAGGACAGUAAGGCGACGGCAUCGGAGGGGUGGAGGCGACUGCAGGGAGCGACGGUCGCGAGGGGCAGCGAAGGCGGGUCCUUAGCUUCUCAGACCUGGUCCUCCAUCCUCCAGGUCUGACCCUUUCCCUUCUCUCUCCAGGUUCGCUCGCCGCUCGGCCCUGGCUUCACCAACGAGUUCCUCCAGUCUUCCUCCGACCAGAUCUGGAUCCCAGGGUUGGCCGGCUCUCGGACCUCCUCCGAUGUCUCUCGGAGGAAGUGAUUGGAGCUGGCUACCUCGGAUCCCUGCUUGGCCGUGGUUUGGCCUUUCUCCGACUCCCUAUUAUUUAUACGCGGGGGAAGGCCUGUCGACGUAGGUCCGGCCGACGGUCCUUUGCGCACCGAAUGGCCUCCGCUAGCUGAACAUCCCAUCCGUUGAGGUGACUCUAGCUAGGCCUACGUUCUAGCUAGGUCUCCUCUCGCAUUGGAGACGCGUCCCUUUCGCCUGCCUGCAGCGUCGUACAUCGCCAUCCUCUUUUGACUUCCGGCGUGGCGCGCACCCGGCCCUUAGAGGGCCCACGUGAGGACCCAGCCCCAAUAGGCUGCGUUUUUUUGUUUGUUGUUUAUUAUUAUUAUUAUUUUUAUUAUUAACUUAUCAAAAAAGGAAAACUAAGGAUUAAAUGAGAGAUUAAGACCUAAUUUAAAAGUUUAAUUAAAAUUUAGGUGGCAACAGCUAUGUCCUAAUAAUUUACGUACGCUACUUGACUACUUUGAAUUCCUAAAUGUAUUCUUUAUUCAUACCCCACUACUUGUGUUUUCUUUUGAGUCUUCUCAUGUGGCAAUUUUCUAAUCCUAACUAACCACCAGUCGAGCGUCAAUCCCAGUCACACGUUUUGGAACCCAUCUCUCUAAUUCCUGUGGUUGCUACUUUUUACGCCUGUAGACCCCUUUCAUUAGUCAGAGUCAAAGUUGGUCCACCAAUAGGAUGCUUCGACGCAUUUCCAUACCAUUCCCACUCAAGACCAGAACGGAAGUCUUGGUCUUCUAUCAGGCUUCAUUGUAAAACACUUGCAUUGACCCGAUUUGCGUUGGACCGAGUUCAUGAGCGGCCUACUUAUGAAUUCGUUGUACUUUGUGGGGAGGGCAUCAGAUCUUGAUUGUGCGCCUAAUCCCAACGCAAAUCUGUUUCUUAACCACUGCCUUGUGGGGAGGGUUUGUGCCAUUGCCUACAGAUGCCAGUCUCAAAUACCAAACAAACCAUGAAGCGUGAAGGUUGUGCUUUCUUCAGGAAUCCUGCUGAUGGCUUGAAUCAAUGACUCUGUAGAGAGGUGAUAACUCAGAAUUGGAGUACACUUGAGAAAUGAUCACCUUGUUUCGUUCUCGGGUGGUCUCGAGCACUGUCCUACUGCUUUUUUUUAAUUGUCUUCUUCAUGGAUUUCGGAACCUGGUUCUGGCUGAUAUCCCUGAAAAGCUCUGCCCCGACAACAGUUCAUAUGCCACAAACAGUGCAUAUCACGACAACCUCAUUGAGCUCACUUCUUCUAUGCAAAAGAAUGCUUCUUCCUCCAAGUUUUUCCAGGACUCGUCCGGGAACUACCCAAGUAAAGUUUAUGGUCAAUACAUGUGCCUCAACUAUGUCUCCAAUUCAACAUGCAAAACUUGCAUAGCCAAGGGAUCGGAAGACAUCCAGAAGCUUUGUCCAAACAAGAUGGAAGCAGCUGUUUGGGAGGAAGAUUGCCAGUUGCGCAUAUCCAGCCAAGAAUUUUUUGGCCGUCUGACUGAAGGAAACAAGCAUCAAUUCAAUCCGAAAAAUACAUCCGACCCUGUCAAGUUCGGGUUGGUGGUGAAUGAAACUUUAAGCUUUCUUGCCCAGAAAGCAGCUCUCGAGUCUCCAGCGACUCACUAUGCUACCAAGGAAAAGAAUUUUGAAUUGGACUCGAAUGAGACUUUACAUGCUCUUGUUCAGUGCACUGCGGACUUAACAGCACAUGAUUGUCACAAGUGCCUCCAAGAAGCAAUAAGUUAUGUGAGGGAUUGCUGCUAUUUUUCGAUCGGAGCAAGAGUUCUAAGUCAAAGUUGCUACUUGAGAUAUGAGUUAUAUGAUUUUUAUGAACCAUCCGAGCCUGUGAAGAAGUCUGGUAAGGUUAUGCCAAAACUUUUACCUGUUAUUGUUCUUCUCCUCACUAAGUCUGUAGUUAAUAUCAGAAUUGAUUUAAUCUGUGAAGAGGCUGCAACUUUUUCUUCUCAAAAGCAGGGAAAAAGUCGUGGAUCAAAGCUUUCACAAUUUCAUCGCUCUGCUUGGUGGCAAUCAGUUUGUGUUCUUGGAUUUUCUUCAUCAUCAUCAAAAGUAACAAUCUUUAUCCUAAUGGUGAUUUGUUUGCCCUCCCCAAAUUCCAACAUAUUUGAGACUCAUCAUGUUUGAUUCCAGGGAAGAAAGACCUUGCAGGUAGACAAGGUCGACCUCUGCUUACCAGUGAUUCUGCUCAUGGUAUUCUUCCAUUCCAACACACCCCAGUAAACACUCUUACUAAAGUUCAAGAUCAUCCAUACUUUGAUAUGAGAUGCAUACUCGCAGCUACCAACAACUUCUCAGAUACACUAAAACUAGGACAAGGUGGAUUUGGUCCAGUUUACAAGGUAGCAAUAGUUCGAACAAAAGCCAAUGUUGGUUGGCAAAUUUAAAAUAGAUACUCUUGCUUUUCUGGUUUUUGUUAAGUAGUUUCUCGUUUUUUAUUGACAGGGCAUUUUAUGGGAUGGGAGAGAAGUUGCGGUGAAGAGGCUAGAGAGCUGGUCAGAGAAGGGUUCCGAAGAAUUCAGAAACGAAGUCCUACUAAUAAUGAAACUUCAACAUAAGAAUCUUGUCAAGCUUCUGGGAUUUUGUGCAGAACGAGAGGAGAAGUUGCUUGUCUAUGAGUAUAUGCCAAAUAGAAGUCUUGAUGUCUUUCUCUUUGGUAUGUACCAGUCCUGCUGUGUCUCUUGGAUAACAUGCUCAACAUAUUUAUCCUACAUUUGAUGACUUCUUUUUUUGGUAUAGAUGCACAGAGAAGGAUCGAGCUGAGUUGGAGCAGACGUCUGAACAUGAUCAUUGGCAUUGCUCGAGGGGUGCUAUAUCUUCAUGAGGAUUCUCGUCAAAGAAUCAUCCACAGAGACCUCAAAGCAAGCAAUGUGUUAUUGGAUUGCAACAUGAACCCAAAAAUCUCAGACUUUGGACUGGCAAGGAUCUUUGCAGGAACAGAAAAUGAAGCAAAUACUGCUACAUUAGUUGGAACCUAGUAAGUAAAUUUUAAGGCAUUUCAGUUUCCUUCACAGGACUCAGAUGAUGUUUGAGAGUUCUUUUAAGUGAUAAAUCUCGGCACUUUUAGUUCAGACUCUAUGCUGCUUCAUUUUGCCACAAGCUCACAUUUUAUUCUCUACCUAGUGGUUACAUGGCGCCAGAGUAUGCAAUGGAGGGGUUAUAUUCCAUAAAAUCAGAUGUCUACAGCUUUGGAGUUCUCUUGCUUGAAAUAAUAACAGGGGAGAGAAAUGCCGGCUUUUGGCAGUCAAGACAUGCCUCGAGUCUCCUAGCCUAUGUAAGUUAUGACUUGAUUACACAUCCAGUUUCAUUUUAUUCGCCCAAUUAAGACUUAAUAAAUUCGAAAAGAAUCCUAAGUGACAAAUGUUUGAGGUCACAACAACACAAUUUGGAAGAUCAGUCAGUAAAAUACAACAAAUGUGCUAUGGCAUUGGACUUCUAAAUCUCCAAUUUUUGCUUAUGCUUGUUCUCUCGGACCUCGGUCAUGGAAUCAGUGGCUCCUUUUGUGCAUAUUGACGAAUAUUACUAGUUGCAUUGUGCAAUGUUGGUCCGUUACAUCUUUCUUCUUUGUAAUUCCCAGUUGGUGUUAGCAUUAUAAAUGAUCGGAUGACAAAACUUGCAGGCUUGGCAACUAUGGAAUGAAGGAAGAGCAAUGGAGUUGAUGGAUCCAUUGCUGCACAAUGAGUGUUGUCCAGCAGAAUUCCUGAAAUGUGUCCAAGUCGGACUUUUGUGUGUUCAAGAAGACGCGUUUGACAGGCCAACCAUGUCCGCUGUCAAUGUGAUGCUCAAAAGGGAUGCUGUAAUUCUCCGUCAACCUUUCAAACCCGCCUUCUCGGUCGGCAGAUUCACUCAUCAUUCCAAUGGACAUGUUGAAGACGAUAAUUGUUCCGUUAAUAGCUUGACAGUUUCUGCUGUGGCACCUCGGUGAGAAAAGUCUACCCUAGGAGAUAAGCACGGUUCUUUGCCCAAGUAUACUGCUUGGACAUGGUAACGUCUACACUAGUUACUCAUUAAAGAACCGGUUCUUAACCAUAAGCUGUUUAAUCAUGUGAUGUUGUCUAUCUUGGCUUGGAAGACUUCACGUUGAGGACCUUAUCAUUCUCCAACCUUCCUCGUUGAUUUUUGCGGCUCUUGAGCUGGAAAUUAAAGCUCCUUAUGUGAAUCCAUGUUCUCCUAGCAUAAGACGGAAAAAAGAAGAAGAGAGAGUUAGUCUAUGCCCUAGAUAAGGUUAUCUCAUUGUACUAUGAGUUCUCACUGAACUAUGUCCAAUCUUUGUGCGGUUUAUCUAUCCUCUCUAUUUGUAGAGUCAAUAUCAUCAUUAGGAUUUUUAGUCAUUCUGUCUUUUGUUAUAUAUGCAAUCAACUCCAUCAUCGCAUCAUUUCCUGUCAUUCUUCUUGAAUUCGAAAGAAUAACUCGCUCUCUUUCUCAACAAAAGAAAAUGGAACCAAAAAAUAAAAAAGAUGUCGGUCGAGAUAGCAGUCUCUUGACAACUCACUCUCUGUGGUAAACCAUAAGUAAAGCUAAAGCUAAUCACACGUGGGACAUUUGCUUGGAUAUGUUGGCAUUAAAGCUGGGUUCAAAAUCUUGUGCUUGCGUAUUUGCGAGAAGCUUGGAAUUUGGUUUUGCACUAGCAAAAUGUUCGUGAUAUAAAUUCCAUUACAGGUAUGACAUUUGAGUUCUAAUAAAAGGGUAAAGAGGGAUACUUUUACUGAUUAAGAUUCAGAGGCUGUUUGGUUGUGAAUUACUCAGUAUGAUGCUACCUUGCUGUGAAUUCGCUCUCUCCAAGGCGCUCGAGCUCCAUUACUAACAUACCGAGGGCCAACCAGACUUAUGCAUCAAGUUUAAUAAUGCGACCUCUCAAAUCCACAUGAAGAGGAGGUCAUUAUAUACUAUAUAAGCAAUAAUAUAUAUAACCAAACUUCGUAGAAGACAUCGUACAGAACAACGAUAAGUCAGGUGAACUCCAAGCAAUUAAACCAAAGUUGACAAAAGAGCCGCGCACAACGCUUCACUUCGCUGUGUUUUUACCACCCGACGCUUUUUCACUCUUGGCGCAAUCAGCAACUUCCAUCGAAGUUCGAGGGGCUCCCGUGCAGCCCAUUCCGGCUUGUGUCUUCUCCCAUGGUUGGCACACAUUUCCAAGUUGAGCAUUGAAGCACUUCCAUCAAUGCACUUGACCCGUCAUGCUCGAACAAAAAUGUCAUUCGCGUGAAGGUUAUGACUCAUUCCAAACGGACAAAUUCGAAUAGAAUGACCUCUCCCAGUAGCAUCCGUUGGUAGAUCAGACAGGAGAAAAGACUACGGCCAAAAACAGGGGUCGAGGCACACGAAGUUUCGGGAUAUUUAAUGACUCUCCUUCGAGCGGGAACGAAGUCAAGCGAGUUAAAAAUCCUAGCCGUCACUUUUGAAAAGCAUGUCCGCUAAAGACCAUGUUAAAGGACUAUUGCCUUUUCUCACUGGUUUGCAUGUCGUCUCCGCUGAACCCAGACGUGUGACUCACAUAAAGCCAAAAAAUAACGAUGGGUCUUUGGAUAAUCCUAAGUUUUUUUAAUUAAUUAAACUUUGACAUGUAUUAAGAUGAAUUUGGAUAAUGUUCCUUCACUUUAGAAGGAAAGCUAAAAUCCUGUUGGUCUAAUUCCAUUUCAGAAAAAUGAAAUAUUCUUGGUCUCCUAAGUCUUUCAUCUUAUGUCAACUUCAAGCUGCGACAGUGAAGCUUCUAUUUGCUUUCUUGCCAGGAAAAGUAAAACAAAGAACUCUCUUUCGCUGGAAUUUUUUAAUAAUUCCACUCUUGACCAGCUGGAAGAUUCUCUGCUCACUUUCACCAUUCUAAAUUGUCACCAUGCGAUGGACCUUUCAACUCCAGAGGAUAUUUCUUCCCUCGUUGUUUAUGGAAAUCAAUCCCAGUUAGUGCCUUCUCAUGGGUCUAGAAUUGCUGUUUCGACCCAAGAAGAUGGCACGAGAUUCGAAUCUUGUCACCUUUUUCCUGUUCGUAGUAUCGAUUUUGUUUUUUGUCACACCCAUUUAUGGAGACAAUCCUCUGGAUUUGCUUUGCCGACCUGAAAAUGGCAAUUACACUUUUGGCAGUCCAUUCAGGAAUAACCUCGAACAGCUUCUUCUGGGCAAUUUGGCUUCUAAUACUGCAAAGAAAGGCUUCCUCAGCAGUUCUACUGGGGAUGGCACUGAUGAAGUGUUUGGUCAAGCACUUUGCAGGCGUGAUGUGAAUAGGAGUGCUUGUGGGGAUUGCGUCAGGAUUGCAAGCCAAGAGAUCAUGAAUAAGUGCAAUAAGAAAGAUGCUGAUAUUUGGUAUGAAUUUUGCCAGAUAUCUUAUUCUUAUAGUAAUUUCUUUUCCGCGAUGACUUACCAGGGACAGUACCCAGAUAGUAAUAAUCAGAAGCAGGACGUAUCUAAUCCGGAAGAGCUGAGCAGUGCCCUGAACAAGUUGAUGGAUGGUCUUAUAAGUGAGGCCCCAUGGGCUUCGUCCAUGUUUGCAGUGGGCAGUUCAAACUUCCCGAGCCAAGGACAUGUUUACGGCCUCGUGCAGUGUACAAGAGAAAUCUCUGGCGGUGAUUGUAAUACCUGUUUGGUGUCAGCUUGGGGGGAUCUGAGAACAUGUUGCUCUCUUCAUCAAGGUGGAACCGUUGUCAGCAGAUAUUGCAACGUGAGGUUCGAGCUUUACCGCUUCUAUAAUCAGCAUUCUGAAGGUAAUUAAUUCGGAUUAUUUUCUUAGACUGUGUUGUUGGUCGUGGAGUACCGAUGCCUGUUGAAAUUAGAAAUUAGAUCUGGAAAACUACCAAUGAAGGUAUCUUCUGUAUGUUUCCUGGGUUGAGAGUUUUAUGGAGACAGCCAGAUGAAGAAUUGCACAUAUCAUAGUAACAAAGGGCCUGCAUGGAAACACUCAUUGUUUCUGUUUCUGAACAAUUUUUUUGUUUUUUUGUUCCUGUGAACAAAAAAAGAACAGAAAUGCGUUUGGUUACGUUUCUAUUCUUUUUUUGUUUUUUUUGUUCCAGAAACAAAAUUGAAACAAAAAAAAGAAACAAAAAAAACUUACUUCUUGUUCCAGAAACAAUUUUGAAGAAACACUUCUUCUUCUCUCUCUUAUCUUUUCUUCUUCUUUUCUUAUUCUUUUUUUUUUGACCGGUCGCCGGCCUCGGCCAUGGUCGGCGACCGGCCGUCGAGGGCCGGCGACACCGUCGAGGGUCGGCGACCUCGAUGGCCCCCGGCGAGGCUGAGCAUCACCGGCCCUUGGUGAGGCUCGGCCUUGCCGUGCCUGGGUGAGGCUGCCGGCCCCGUCAGCCGGUCGCCGGAGGCCGGUGACCGGCCAAAAGAAGAAAAAAUAAAAAAGAAAGGAAAAAAUUAAAAAUAAAAUAAAAAUAUUAAAAAAUUAAAAGAAACAAAAAAAAUAAAAUUUACCAAACGUGUUUCUAUUCAUUUUUUAUUCCCGGAACAAAUUUACCAAACGCAUUUUUCUGGUAAAAAAUUGUUCCCUGGAACAUAAACAUUUUUUUUUUUAUUUCUAUUUUCUGGAACAAAAAAAGAGCAAAAACAUUACCAUGCAGCCCCAAAAUCUUGUUAAAAGUUGUCAACUAACCAUGAGUUUACUAUUCGGCGAGAAACAUAACUGUUCACGAGGACUGAGUGGUACUGAAGCUCGGUCAUCUAAGUGAGGAUAGUAAAAUCAACUAUGCACGAGGAAAUCCUUUGUUUCCAUGUGAUUCAUUCUAAAUAAACAACUUUUCAUAUGAAAGUUCUCGUAUUGAGUUUUUAUUGGAUAUAAUGGAUGUAUCAGAAUUCACCUACUUAUAGUAGAUUAAGUACAAAAUACGCAAGAUAUAAAUUUUUCAGUGCAAAAUUUUUUUACAACAGAGUUUCUAUGACAACGGAAGGAUUGGAUUGGCCCGAUGAAUGACCAGCUGUCGUAAAGAAUUUUACUGACCUGAUUAGAUUCCAAAACAUUUGGUAAUUCUUUAUUAGUUGGCUUGAUGAAAAGUCCUGUUGGAAAUCUUGAUUCAUGAGCUGAUCCUAACUGUUUCUAUUAUUUUUGUAAAAUUUCCUUGCUGACUGCUCGAGUACUGCUCGAGUUCUCUCUGUGCGAGUUGGAAAUUGGAUUUUUAACAUUUCUUAAUUAUUUGAUGAUGACAUUGUAGGCUUGGGGAAGAAAAGAAUAAUUUUGUUGGUCAUAUGUAUUCUGGCUGGGGCAUUGCUAGCUUCCCUUGGGGUUUGGGUUGCCCGUCGAAGAUGGAAAAGGAGAAUGACCAGAGGUAUGUCAAACAAGUUAGUUUCAGUUGCUAACUGAUAUCUUGGACAGUGUUGAUGACAAUAAUUCGGAUCUUUGUUGUCUUUUUUGGUUUCCCAGAUGAAGAGAGAGACGAAAAUGAAUUGAUCCAGGAAUUGCCGAAGCCCAUUGAACUAUCCAUUUCAAGAGGGGAUCUAGAAUAUUCUGAUGAUAUGUUUGUCAUGGAUUUGGUAACUCUGAGGGCUGCCACAGCUAACUUUAGCCUUACAAACAAGCUCGGACAAGGCGGGUUCGGCAUUGUUUACAAGGUUAAAUAUUCCAUGGGAUCAUAUUCAAUUUGGUUGGAAGAGGUUCCCACAAAAACAUAAACUGAUGACUAAUCUUUAAGUUGUUUCAGGGAAUUCUACCUGAUGGAAACGAAAUAGCAGUCAAGAGGCUGUCGAUGAAGUCAUGGCAGGGCGUAGAAGAGUUUAAAAACGAAGUCACGCUCAUUGCAAAACUCAAACACAAAAAUCUGGUGAGGCUUUUGGGUUGGGGCAUAGAUGGACAUGAGAAGCUACUCAUAUAUGAAUACAUGGCCAACAAAAGCCUCGACGUCUUCCUCUUUGGUUAGUCACAGUAUAGUCUGUUUUCUCUCACAAGUAGACCACACUCCUAUUGUCUUUACACAUUCAAUGAAAAUUGUGUCAGCUACUGCUUUUCAGACCCAAUGAAGAGUUCGCAGCUCGAUUGGGGAGCACGCUACAGCAUAAUUAAUGGGAUUGCCAGAGGACUGCUUUAUCUUCAUGAGGAUUCCGUGCCGAAGAUCAUCCAUAGAGAUCUAAAGCCGAGCAACGUGUUGCUGGACAUCGACAUGGUUGCCAAGAUAUCGGAUUUCGGUAUGGCGAGGAUUUUCUCAGAGAAGCAGAAUGUAGCAAACACCAGAAGAGUUGUCGGGACUUUGUAAGUUAUGUCUCUCCUGCCUCGUAUAAUUUCUAAUAUUUUUCCAUUCAGUUGUUGUCGUUUGCAUCUCUGUCGAGUUUUCUUUUUCCUUUUAGUUCUUAUCGCUAAAAAUAUNNNNNNNNNNNNNNNNNNNNNNNNNNNNNNNNNNNNNNNNNNNNNNNNNNNNNNNNNNNNNNNNNNNNNNNNNNNNNNNNNNNNNNNNNNNNNNNNNNNNNNNNNNNNNNNNNNNNNNNNNNNNNNNNNNNNNNNNNNNNNNNNNNNNNNNNNNNNNNNNNNNNNNNNNNNNNNNNNNNNNNNNNNNNNNNNNNNNNNNNNNNNNNNNNNNNNNNNNNNNNNNNNNNNNNNNNNNNNNNNNNNNNNNNNNNNNNNNNNNNNNNNNNNNNNNNNNNNNNNNNNNNNNNNNNNNNNNNNNNNNNNNNNNNNNNNNNNNNNNNNNNNNNNNNNNNNNNNNNNNNNNNNNNNNNNNNNNNNNNNNNNNNNNNNNNNNNNNNNNNNNNNNNNNNNNNNNNNNNNNNNNNNNNNNNNNNNNNNNNNNNNNNNNNNNNNNNNNNNNNNNNNNNNNNNCACCAAGCGCGCAUCAUCUCUGCUAAAUUAUGUAAAUUUUUUUCUCCUAGCAUACUUGCAUCACGAUUUUAAUUGAAUUGAGCAAGAGUUUUGAAAUCACUUAGAUGACAUAUCACAGUAACAAACAUAUACUAUGUGCAGGCAUGGAUUUUGUGGAACGAAGGGAGAGAGCUUGAAUUCGUGGACCCUUUCCUACUGAAAUCGUUUCCACCGGCUGAUGUGCGUAGAACCAUUCAAAUGGGGCUUUUAUGUGUGCAAAAAGAUCCAGCAGACCGGCCUCUCAUGACGGAUGUGGUGGUUCUUCUCGAAAGUGGACCUGCGGUCCUCUUGCAGCCGAAACAACCUGCAUUUUCAGUCGGGCGAGACAUCCCCUUGGAUAAUAGCCUUUCGAUGCCAGAAAGUUCUUGUACUAACGAUAUUACUGCUUCUAUAAUGUCACCACGGUGAACGGUGGCUAUCGACACCCAAACAUUUGACAUUGCCAUGACUCUCCGGUACAAUGGGAACUAGGUAUAACAAGUACUGUUAAUUCAUGCAGAAAUGGAAAUUCAUGAUCUGUCUUAGCUGUAUGAUAAUAGGCAAAUAUUAAGUAGAGCAUGCAUAGGUUUUUAUGGCAUCCAUGUAAAUGACAACUCCAAUCUUUGUGAAUUUUCGGGAGAAGUACAUUAUCAAUGCCAUAAGUUGUGUACGACGCUCAUUUUGGUGCCAAAAGUUUUCGUUAGAUCAUUUACGUGUCAAAUUGGAGAAAAAACGAUUACUUUGGUGCCACUAGCAAGAGAUUCUGGCCAGAUUAAGUACGUGACUUUUAUAUUUAAAAAAAAAGUCGCAGUGGCUUUAAAACGUCUUUUUCCAUCAUCUUCAAAAAAACGACGUUGUUUUGCUAUUAUACGUGGACAUCCUCACAUAAAUGUUGCCGUAUAGCUUAUGAGGAUUGAAAUUAGGGUUUCCGCCGCUCGCUGCUCGGCCACCGUCGUUCGCUCGCCAUCGCUCAGCCACCGCCACCAUUGUAGUUGCUCAACUAGGUGAACGAGGAGAGAUUGAGAUUGUUACUCAAGCAAGAAGUGGCAGGAAGAAUAAGAAGCGAGGGUAGAGGAAGAGGAGGAAGAAGAGGGGUCGAAGGUGUCGUUGGUGCACUGUUGUUGGUGGUGGUGUUGGUGCCAUUGCUGGCACUGUUGCUGGCGUUGGUCUUCAAGGAAGAAGAAGACAAUGUUCCUUCUCUCUCUCUCUCUCUCUCUCUCUCAAUUUGGGGAUUUAAGGUUUCUAACUUGGGGGAAGACGCAAAAUGGUGUCGUUUUCUUGUUUGGAUGGUUGACUAUACUCUUUGACGAGCCAUGUUGGCUUAAAAAAUUAAUAAAAAAGUAUCACGUCAGAUUUCCCGGCCAAUUUCAUUAACGUUGGCAUGGAAUGAUCGGUUUUUCAAAUUUGUUGGCACUUAAGUGAUUCAACGGAAAUUUUUGACAUUAAAGUGAGCACCGUACAUAAGUUUUGGUACUGAUAGUGUACUUCUCUCUGAAUUUUCUGUACAUCGACAUUAACAUCUUGUUCAUUAAAUUGAUUGGGUCUAAAAAAGAAUGAUGAUGGUCCUAACUAGAUGAGCAGCCGCCUUCAUGUGUAUAGGCAUGGUCGUAAGAUAAACACCUUACAAUAAGAUGGCAUAUUGGCAUAUGCAUAAUCUUUCAAAUUUUUCAAAGAAAGUUUUUUGUUUUUUGAAGUCGAGACAAAUGGGCUCUAAACACUACAGGAUUAAUUUUUGCUCAACAAAAAUCUCUUGGUCAAACAAGUCACGAGCAACCCAAAUGGCUUGUAUAAUCAAAGUCCUGCAAAGUCUCACCAUAUCUUGUUAUACCAUUUGAUUUUAUCCGGUUAUAAUUUCCCACUUCCUCCAAAAAUAACUGCAUCACGGAUAUCUAGUUGAUUUGCAUGUAGACUCGUGUUCCAUACAUAGCCAAACUUUAAUCUGAUACUACCCUAUAUAAACAUCUUUUGAAUGUAUCUUCUUAGCCAUCCAAUCAAAACAUGAAUUCUUGCUUCACCAUCUGCCUCUCUCUCUCUCAUCCUCAUCUUCUUCCAAAUUUCUAAGCAUUUACACUUCCACUGCUGAAGCUGCACCAACUUAUUUAUGGCACUAGUGCACAAACACCACCUUCUUCACUCCCAACACCACCUAAGAAACAAAUCUCAACACCCUCCUUUCUUCCCUCUCCUCCGCCGAUGCCCAUGGCUUCGCCAAUGCCACCGCUAGCAAAAACCCACUUGACCUAGUCUACAGGCUAUUCCUCUGCCGGUUGCGUGGCAUUUGUGAGCAAGGAAAUACUCGUGCAUGCCCUGAUGAGAAAGGCUCAAUCACUUGGGACAACAAGCGCAUGUUGCUGUUAAAAUAUGUCUCGAGUUUAAGCCCAAUGCAAAAUUAUGAAUAUUCCGAAUUGGAUAUGUUGCGGAUGUUCGAAAUCGAGCAAAGAAGAUCCGAAGAUCAACUUCCCAAAAUUCGAAUCCGCGUUGGAGAGUUUGGCUGCUAAAAUAGGAAAGUCCAACUUUGACUAGGACUUGGAUUUUUGUUUAAAAUAUACAAAGAUAUGUUUUGGAUAGGAAACAAAAUCCUAUGAGAAGUUGGCAAAAGAAUAAGGGUUUUACUUAUAUAUAGACUUAAGGCCAUGGGUGAUAGGUGUGGAUCACAAAUUGUUUUGAAGCGCCACGUGAGUGCUUGGUGUUCCGCCGUUGAUUGUGAAGAAUUGAUCUUGAAGCGCCGUCUUGUUGUCGAGUGCUUGGGAGGGAUUUUCUUUGUCGUGAAUUACAUCCAAGAAGGUUUAGUGUUAAAGCCAAUUAAAUCUUGUGGUAAGAUUUGCGUGUGAUUCCUUCGUGAGAUUGAGAGAUUAUUUCUUGACGAAUUUUGAGGCUAAACACUGUGUGUGUUAUUGGGUGUAAUUGGGGCUUGGGAAACACCGAGAGAGUGUUUGAGUGACUCGAGUGUGUAAUCUCCUUGUAUCGCUUGAUCUAUAGUGAAAUUCGCUGCUGCUCUCCCCGUGGACGUAGGUCUUUACGACUGAACCACGUAAAUUUGGUGUCCGAUUUAUUUUCUUUUUCUGUCUAUAUUAUUGUUCGAUCGCUCGCCCCAUCGCAACAGUUGCGAUACUUGAACCAAUCAAUUUUCUGCGUUGACCAAGGGAAACCUAGUCUUCGUGUUCAUAAACGUGGUCAACAUCACAAAAUUUAGUAGCUUCACCCAGUUGCUGAAGGACACAACUGAGGAAUUGGCCGAGACGGUGGCGAGGGACAGUCUGGCAAGAGGAGAUCGCAAUAAGGCAGGAGGGAGAGUCCUGGCCCCGAAUUGCAACUUUAGCUUUGGUGUUUUACAAAUUCUAUAAUGGACUGCCUUCUACAAAGCACUGGCACCAGCGCCAAGACUGACGCUUGAACUUGGAGCUACUAGAAGCUAUCAGAUAUCAAAUCAAAUAUUAAAAGUGGGUUACACUUGGAGAUGCAUGUUCCAGCAAACUCUCUAGUAAUAACUUUAUCAUCAACUUUGAAGUGAAAUUGUUACGUCCCGAACCCUGAGCGUGUAUACAUCCCUUGACGGUCAACUUAAAAAUUUGACAUCCUAGGAUGCGUCACUGACCUAUUCUUUUUAUCUUUCAAUUAAGUGCAUGCAAAAGUGAAUUAAUAAACACCUGACCAACAAAAAAUCAUGGGAUAAUAAAAGCACAUCAAACAUUGCCGAGAACAACAUAUUCAUUUUUCAACUGUUACCCUUAGGAAGUUUAAUAGUACAAGCCUUUCUACGGCUACUUCCUAUCGACCCUCUCAAAAACCUUAGGGAUCAGGGUCAUCCUAAACUUCGCUAAUGGCAAGGCAGCUAAAAGGUGUCACAUCUCGCACCCAUCACAUCCACACUCAGCAGAUCUCCACGCUAUGGCCUUGAAAAAUGUUAGCCCACAACGGGGUGAGAUAAAAUCUCAGCAAGUCAAAACCCUAAACCCCAAUUAGGACACAAAUUCGCCUUGAAGGCGAUCCUAAACAUGCACCAUACAGAACUCACAUUCGCCUGGGCGUGUCUCUGCACAUUAAUGCAUCACAUAUACCAAUUGACAUAUCACAAACAUAUUUAAUAAUCGGAACACAUCAAUCUUAUUCUUCAAACAAUCACAUAGGUCCCGAUUAUAAGGUAAAACUGUUAUAACACAUCAUAUACCAUGUCAAAUAAUUUUACCACAUAAUCAGGCACAGCUAUCACAACCACUCAGGUGUGUUCCAGUUAUUACAACUCAUUGGCCACGGCCAACUCAACAGUCGGCGGUCAUCUUGUCACGCCUUGAUCCUCGGGUGUGUGCCCAUCCCGGUUUGGUCGAUUAAAUAAUGACGUCCUACGAUGCAUUGCUGACCCUUUCAUUUUAAUAUGCAUGCGGAAGCAAUUAAUAAAUUCCCAGACAAUAAAACAAUGUAAUAGAAAAGUAUGACCAAUUUUUCCCAAAAGACCUUUUUAUAGUAGGACCAAUUUUUCUCAAAAGACAUUUUUAUAAACACAUAGGUUUAUACACAAAAAAAACUACAAAAAUGAAUAAGCUUUCAACAAAAGAGAAAUGUCCUAGGACUAACUAGUCGGACAUGCUCGUUAAUUCUCCGGGCUUCACCUUCUAAACUUCAGACCUCAGGUCUUUCACCGAUGUCAACUAGGUCCUCCUUAGCUUCUCAAUUUGGUCCUCCAUCCUACAGGUCUGACCUUUUCCCUUCUCUCUCCAGGUUCGCUCGCCGCUAGGCCAUGGCUUCGUCGACGAGUUCCUCUGAUCUUCCUCCUCUUUCCGACCUUGACCUUCCUCCAACCAGAUCUGGAUCCCAGGGUUGGCCGGCUCUCAGACCUCCUUCGAUGUCUCUUGGAGGAAGUGAUUGGAGCUGGCUACCUCGGAUCCCUGCUUGGCCGUGGUUUAGCCUUCCCUCUACACCCUAUUAUUUAUAAGCGAGGGGAAGGUCGGUCGACGAAGGUUCGACCAACAGUCCUUUGCGCACCGAAUGGCAUCCACCGGCCGAACCGGCGUCCCAUCCGUCGAGGUGGCUCUAGCUAGGCCUCCUCGCAUUGAAGAUGUGGGUCACACCCUGAUCCUCAAGCACAUGCCCAUCCCUUUCUGGUCGAUAAAAUUUUGCGAUUUCCCAGGAUGAGUCGCCGACCAUUUCUUUUUAUUGCACAUACGGAAGCGAAAAUAAAAUCCCCUGAUAGUAACCAUCUCGAGAUAGAAAAAGCCGGACAACAGAUUCACAAACAAAACACACAUUUAUAUACACACUGAGUCAUGUACAAGGUCUAGGACCAAAAGACUGCAAAAAAUGGCUUUCCAAAAAGAAGCGUUCCUAACCAACCUACACUUCAGAUCACCUCUUCUCGGCUCCAGGUCCUCCACUCAACGACCUUGAAAAAUUCACGAUGGGGUGAGAUAUAAAUCUCAGCGAAUUUGUGCUCUAAACCUCGAUUAGGAGGGAAAUACGCUCAGAAACGUCCUAAUCACACAAUCACACAAUCAUAGGGACUUAUCUCGCCUUAGAUCCACUCUGCUAGUCAGUACAAUUAGAUACUCGACCAAACAAUUCAAUUUAAUUUAAUUCAACCAUCAAUCAGGCGACUCAUCCGACUCCGUGUCAUCAAUGCCAUCUAUAAACCAUAUCGAUUCAAACGCUACUUGCCUAAGCUGAAAUAGAUAUAUUCAUCCCCAAAGCUGAUGUAUAAAUUUGCUCACCGAAGCUGCUAGAUAAUUUGUGCUCGCCGAAGCUGCUAAACCAACUAUUGCUCAUCGAAGCUGAUGUCUAUAGUGUUCACUGAAGCUGCUAAAGUAUUAUUACUCACCGAAGCUACUAGGAAUCUAUAAUGGUAUUAAUGCUCCCCAAAGCUGAACCACGAUACAUUACUCCUAGCCAAAGAUCUUGUGCUUUACACAUCGAUUCCUCAAUUACAUAUCCAACUUGAUUUGAUUCCACCGUAUUAAAGUGUACCCGAUAAAAAUAAUCGCGUGUGGGUACAUGGUUGGCCUGAGCCAAAAAUAUAAUAAUAUCUUUACUUUGGAAAAUCCCACUAUUUAUACAGAGUUUGAAAAUAUUUUUGGCAUUGUAAACUGACGCCCCGGUAAUUUCUAAUUAAUUAAAGAAUUUAUACAAUUUUAGGAUAAAUUCCCAAAAUUACAACUUAAUUUCAAAUUACACAAUUUAAUAUUCAAUUACAGAAAUUAACCACACCAUUGCAAUCAGCACGAAAUUCCAAUCACCGACUAUCCCGGCCUAAUUUCUGGAAAAUAAUUAUUAAAUAAUUAAUUUCGAAAAUUAAUUAAAUAAAUCAAUUUAAAUUCUAAAAAUACCAACCUAGGCUAAAAUCACUAAAUUAAAUACCAAUACGGGCCCGGAAAAUUCUCAAACCCUUCUAGAUAAAUAACACAUCCUAUCUAGGCCUUGAUAAUUUAAUCUAACCACCUAACAUGCAUGAUUAACUGAUUAAAUCACUAAUAUAAUCUAACUAACCAUCUAAGUCCUAAUUAAAUUAAACUAAACACCUAUUAAAUGUAAUUAGCCUACUAAGAAGAGUUUAGUGCAUAAACUCACUGGUUUAUUGCGGAAACCGGUUUACCGCAACGACAACGCGACGGCGGCUGAAAUCCAAAUUUUCAGUGGCGUCGAUGGACACUCGGGCCGGGCCCAAAAGCCUUGCAAGCCCACAUCAAAUUGCUGGGCUUGAUCUUGGGCUUGGGUUGCGGCUGGGUUGGGGUUGCUUCGCGGGCCCAAGAUGGGCUGAAUUGCUGUAUUAAUGGGCUGGCUUCUUGGGUUGAAACUUGGGCUGUAACUUAAAUGGACAAAGCUGUCGUGGGCUUCAAAAACUAGGCUGCUGGGCUUUGAGAUAUUCACGUGGGCUGAGAUGGGCUGGCCUUGGCUUCGCGGCUUGGGCUGCUGCUUGGUGAAAAUUCGACUGAACUGGGCUGGUCAAUGAACUACACGGCCAAGCGGAGCAAGAACAAAGGAAGGUGGGCUGGGAAUUGGGGGCUCGUUGAAAUGUUGAAGCAGAUGGGCCAUUGAAGAAGUUGCCGGUUCGUGGGAAAUCUUCGGCUUCGCUGGCGUUGUAGGGAAUCGACGGAGGGAGAUGCAAACAUGGGGAAAUGGAGGAACCUGCGGAGGAGUCAAAGCUGGGGUCUCCUUGGAGUUUGCAGUUGACUCGGAGGAGGAUGUAAGAAUUAUUGUGACCCACAUGAUAUGAUUUAUUAUAUGGUUUAAUAAUUAUUGAAAUGCUAUAAAAUAAAUAAUUAUUGGUUACGAGAAGUUGCGACUUUAAUAAACGAAAGGGUAUAUUGCUUUGAUGGAAUACACAUUUUCAAUGAACAUAUAAAUAGAGUGCGGUCCUCUCUCCAUCCACAACGAACAACAAUAACUGAAAGGAAUUUUGUAUUCUCUCAUCCAUCGAUUGAAUACAUUAAGGAAUAGUGGGUUAAGGGAGAGAAAUCAGAUUUCUUCAUUUGGUUCGAGUUCUUUGGAUUUGCUACAACGAUCAUCAUCAAGCGUAGCGCUAUGGAUAAAGCUAUGUCUUCAUCUAAUUGUGAAAAUCAUGAAGAUCAAAAGAUCAUUGUUUACUUUGAAUUUUCGCAUCAAGUAUUAUAUGAAUUGUCUAACAGAGGAAUCCAGGCGUGAGGGACUUUGGUGGAUGGAGAAGUUGGCGCAUGAAGAGAAGUCAACACCAAAAGAUUCUAUGGGACGUUGGUGCCGAUUGUUGACUCGGUGAAGCAAAUCCACGAGGGAUCGGGGUGGGGGUCUUCGUGGCAGAAGAAGAAAGAUCGGUGGAGGAGCAGGCGGUCUUGAUUCGGUGAGGGGAGUAGAGAAGACAAAGAAAAAUGAAAGAAGACCGAAGCGGUUCAAGGAAAGAAAGAAAAUUGGAACCGCGGAGGGGAGGGAAUUGAUCGAGCUGGUGUGCGAAAAGAUGAGGGAGAGAGUGACUUGAGCGUGCGGAGGAAGUUUGGGAAAAGUCUACAAGCUUAUCCCCUUAAUUAAAGGCUUAUCCCCUCCUAAAACCCUCAUGUAUAUCCUUGGUCCUCCAUGAUUAUUUCUAGCACUGUAAUAUCCAAAAAUAAUCCAAUUCUAAGCUCCGAAUUUAAUCAAAUUGAAAUUCAAUUUCCCCUCCAAUUUCUCCAAUUUGAGGUCUGAUUUCGGUGAAGGAAAUCCCGUACAACUUUUUGCAAGUCCCUGAUAUCCAAAGGCUCGGCUUAGAAGUCCAAAUUUCCUUUGACUUAGCCCAUCCGAAUUUACCUUAAUUUUCCCGUAACGUCUGAAUCGAUUUUCCGUAAAAAUCUCGGAAUUUCUGAAAAUUCCUUGGAGGAUGAGUUGACGUCCCUAAAAUAGAUCGUGAUAUGACAAAACUUUCAAUUUUUGAAAUCGGGUUUAAUUUCGCGGUUAGUUUCAAUUUGACGCGAUUUUAGCAUGACCUAGUCUACUGGGUAGGUUUUAGGAAUUUUUGAUACAAUUGACCCGUGAUCGAUUUAUCUCGAGUCACAAUGUUCAUCUUCGACUUAUUGGCGAUUAUCGGUUGUCGUGAAAAUAUUGAGAUUUCAAAUACAGACACCGGGUACCAAAACAACAGAAAUUAGGUAGAAUUUUGUAAUUAGGUAGAAUCACCUACACACUAAUCACAUAUCUCUAUCGAAUCGACUUAUCUCCGGUUUCUGAUCGAUUUUUUGACGAUGCCGUUGUGACCCUUGCAAAUUAGCAUGGUCGAGCAGUCGAUUCCUAGUCGAAUUCUCAAGUCUAUUGUAUUUAGAUUCCUUAAUGGCUUCACCUGAUAGGCUAGUUAUCUUGUGAGUGACCAACUCAGGGAAUAGAACUAUCGGCGUGUCGAUGAAAUGCCCGAUUUAUUUAAUUGAAAAAAAAAAUCUGGAAAUUCAAGAUGUCACAAAGUGUCCCUUCCGCCUACAGCGUCGUACGUCGCCAUCCUCUCCCGCCUUCCGGCAUCGUGCACGUCUGGGCCCUGGAGGGUCCGCGCAAGGACCCAGCCCCGAUGGGCUGCCUCUUUUUGUUUGUUGUUUAUUAUUAUUGUUAUUUUUAUUAUUAACUUAUCCAAAAAAUUAAAAAUAAGGAUUAAAUGAGUGAUUAAGACUUAAUUUAAAAGCUUAAUUAAAAGUUAGGUGUCAACAGCUACGUCCUAAUAAUUUAGGUAUGCUACUUGACUUUGAAUUCCUAAAAGUAUUAUUUAUUUAUACCCCUCUACUUGUGUUUUCUUUUGAGUCUUCUCAUGUGGCAAUUUUCUAAUCCUAACUAACCAAUAGGAUGCUUCGACGCAUUUCCAUACCAUUCCCACUCAAGACCAGAACGGAAGUCUUGGUCUUCUAUCAGGCUUCAUUGUAAAAUACUUGCAUUGACCCGAUUUGCAAUGGACCGAGUUCAUCAGUGGCCUACUUAUGAAUUCGUUGUACUUUGUGGGGAGGGUAUCAAAUCUUGAUUGUGCGCCUAAUCCCAACGCAAAUCUGUUUCUUAACCCCUGCCUUGUGGGGAGGGUUUGUGCCAUUACCUACAAAUGCCAGUCUCAAAAACCAAACAAACCAUGAAGUGUGAAGGUUGUGCUUUCUUCCGGAAUCCUGCCGAUGGCUUGAAUCAAUGACUCUGUAGAGAGGUGAUAACUCAGAAUUGGAGUACACUUAAGAAAUGAUCACCUUGUUUCGUUCUCGGGUGGUCUCGAGCACCGUCCUACUGCUUUUUUUUAAUUGUCUUCUUCAUGGAAUCAGUGGCUCCUUUUGUGCAUAUUGACGAAUAUUACUAGUUGCAUUGUGCAAUGUUGGUCCGUUACAUCUUUCUUCUUUGUAAUUCCCAGUUGGUGUUUAGCAUUAGAAAUGAUCGGAUGACAAAACUUGCAGGCUUGGCAACUAUGGAAUGAAGGAAGAGCAAUGGAGUUGAUGGAUCCAUUGCUGCACAAUGACUGUUGUCCAGGAGAAUUCCUGAAAUGUGUCCAAGCCGGACUUUUGUGUGUUCAAGAAGACGCGUUUGACAGGCCAACCAUGUCGGCUGUCAAUGUGAUGCUCAAAAGGGAUGCUGUAAUUCUCCGUCAACCUUUCAAACCUGCCUUCUCGGUCGGCAGAUUCACUCAUCAUUCCAAUGGACAUGUUGAAGACGAUAAUAUUUCCGUUAAUAGCUUGACAGUUUCCGCUGUGGCACCUCGGUGAGAAAAGUCUACCCUAGGAGAUAAGCACGGUUCUUUGCCCAAGUAUACUGCUUGGACAUGGUAACGUCUACACUAGUUACUCAUUAAAGAACCGAUUCUGAACCAUAAGCUGUUUAAUCAUGUGAUGUUGUCUAUCUUGGCUUGGAAGACUUCACGUUGAGGACCUUAUCAUUCUCCAACCUUCCUCGUUGAUUUUUGCGGCUCUUGAGCUGGAAAUUAAAGCUCCUUAUGUGAAUCCAUAUUCUCCUAGCAUAAGACGGAAAAAAGAGAGAGAGUUAGUCUAUGCCCUAGAUAAGGUUAUCUCAUUGUACUAUGAGUUCUCACUGAACUAUGUCCAAUCUUUGUGCGGUUUAUCUAUCCUCUCUAUUUGUAGAGUCAAUAUCAUCAUUAGGAUUUUUAGUCAUUCUGUCUUUUGUUAUAUAUGCAAUCAAC
RNAcentral lists this long non-coding RNA (58116 nucleotides) under Eucalyptus grandis. Lineage: Eukaryota; Viridiplantae; Streptophyta; Magnoliopsida; Myrtales; Myrtaceae. The record is from RNAcentral.